CGGGUUUACUCCAACCCGUGAUGCAAAACUCCGGAGCGCAUCGCCCGAGGUGGACCGACCGCCCUCGAGCACGGAACUCAUAGCAAGUAUGAUCGAUCCUUAACUCUAAGGAUGUAUCUCAUAAUAUUUUUAUUUAUUUUCACUUUUACAUUUAAAAUUCGGUAUGUUACAUUCCACCGCAACCUCACCGGAACUAUUUAAAUGUACACCGUAACUUCAUAGUUUUAGAUGUCUGAUACCUUACAACAUCGCUAUGGACUUCGUGGUCGGAUUACCCCAUUCGGCAGGUGGCCACGACGCGAUCUGGGUGAUUGUGGAUCGUAUGACCAAGUCGGCACACUUUCUACCGAUUCACACCACCUGGUCGGGCGAUAGAUUGGCGCAGGUGUAUCUCAAUAAGAUUGUGAGGUUACACGGGGUUCCGAAGUCGAUCGUGUCAGAUCGAGACCCCCGUUUUACUUCGCACUUUUGGAAAAACCUGCAAGAAGCACUUGGCACACGGCUCGAUUUCGGCACCGCAUUUCAUCCUCAGACAGAUGGACAGUCGGAAAGGACUAUACAGAUUCUGGAGGAUAUGUUGCGGGCGUGUGUCAUUGACUACAAGGGUAGUUGGGCAAACCAUUUGAGGAUGGCCGAGUUCGCCUACAAUAACAGUUAUCAAGCUAGCAUUGGGAUGGCACCGUUCGAGGUCCUAUAUGGACGGAAGUGCCGAUCCCCUAUAUGUUUGAGCGAUGUAGGUGAACCUGCGGCAUUAGGCCCCGAUGUAUUGCGGGAGGCUGAAGAGAAGGUCCGUCUCGCUAGCGAGAGGCUACUUACGACACAGUCGAGACAAAAGAGCUAUUCUGACAAACGCCGUAGAGACUUGAAAUUCGCGGUGGGCGACCGCGUUUUCUUGAAGGUUUCACCUAUGAGAGGUGUGAAACGCUUCGGAGUACGGGAAAAGCUAAGUCCCUGAUAUAUCGGGCCAUUCGAAGUGUUGGAACGUGUUGGAGCGGUAGCGUACCGACUUGCAUUACCACCGAAGCUCGCGGGGGUGCAUGAUGAAUUCCACGUUUCUAACCUUCGCAAGUAUGUUCCCGAUCCCGAGCAUGUUAUGUAUUACGAGCCGCCGGAUCUACAAGAGGAUUUGAGCUAUGAAGAGUUUUCGGCGAUGAUCAUUGCUCGAGAAGUGCGGAAGUUGAGGAACCGUGAGAUUCCCUACGUGAAGAUCCGUUGGACGGAUCACAACGAUCGUGAGGCUACAUGAGAACUCGAGGAAACGAUGAAAGUACAUUAUCCUCAUUUUUUUAUGGAAAUGCAAUGAGGUAUGAGUUAUUGAAUUCAUUUCGAGGACGAAACUCCUUUUUAGGAAAGGAGGAUGUAAGGAAGUAAAUUCUCGAAAUACGAGAAUUAGACUUCGUCCAGAAUCGACCAAGGGUCGUGUUGGUGAGCUUUGAAAAAGCCAAAGAUGUCAAAAUCACCAAAAGUGCAUUAGAAAUGAGUCCAUGAGAGCGAGUAGGGCAAAACCUGCACUGGAGCAAAAUUGCUCUCGGGGACCGGUCCCUGGCAGGGAGGGACCGGUCCCAUCGGCUGGUGGUUGCGGGGAUUCUUGAGGCAACCGGUCCCUGGCUGGGAGAGACCGGUCCUCGAACGUGACGCCAGCGAGAGAAAGCCAAAAUUGGCUAAGUCCCGAAGUCCCCACUCUCGGGAACCGGUCUCUCAGGAGGAACCAGCCUCCCGGGGACCGGUCUCUCUGGGAGAGACCGGUUCCCGAACGCGUGUGUGACGAAGUGAAUUCUCGAAAUACAAGAGUUAGACUUCAUGUAAAAUCGACCAAGGGUCGUGUUGGUAAGUUUUGGAAGAGCCAAAGAUGUUAAAAUCACCAAAGAUGCAUUGGAAACGAGUCCGCGAGAGCAAAUAGUGCGAAACUUGCACUGGAGCAAAACUGCUCUCGGGAACCGGUCCCGGGCUGGGAGGGACCGGUCCCAUUGGCUGGUGUUGCGGGAUUCCUUGAGGCAACCGGUCCCGGGCAGGGAGGGACCGGUCCCAUUGGCUGGUGUUGCGGGAUUGCUUGAGGCAGGGAGAGACCGGUUCCCGAACGUAAUCCCAGCGAGAAAAGCCAAAAAAUUGGCUAAGUCCUGAGAUCCCGGCUCUCGGGAACCGGUCUCUCAGGAAGAAACCGGUCUCCCGAGGACCGGUCUCUCUGGGAGAGACCGGUACCCGAACGCGUGACCCGAGCUGAAGCUCUCGGGGACCGGUCCCAAGUCGGGGAGACCGGUCCCUCCGCGCGCAGAAUGCCCAGUAAGGGCAGUGCACAGGGUGAAAAGUUGAGAGGGCCAGCUGGAUAUUGUUACAAUAAGAGGGCUUGUGGUCCCUCUCUCUUCCUCAGCCCCUCAUUUCCCUCUCUCCCUCACUCACACUCUCUCUCUCUCUAGAAGAAGAAAGAGAAAAAGAAGAAGAAGAAGAAAAGAAAAGGAAAAGAAGGAAGAAAAUGAAGGAGAAGAAGAAGGGGAUCAAGGAAAAGAAGCUUUUGGACUUCUCCCUCUUCCUCUUCUUUCUCUUUUGAGCUAACCUAGAGGUAAGCUUCUAACCCUAGCUUAUGAAAUUCAGGGUUUUUGGGUUUUAGCUCUUUGGAUGGGAUCAAAUGGAUCCCUAGCACCAUGAAUGGUAGGAUUGAAGCUAGAACCUAGGGUUUUGAGAUGGGUUUAGCUUAAUGCUAACCCUAGGGCACCAAAAUAGGGUUUUUGGUAAAGUAUGGGAUUGAUCUCAUUUGAGGCCUUGUAAACCUAAUUGCUAGGUAACGAAACGCCGGGGCGAAGUCAGUAAUUUCGAUUCGUCGAACGGGUCAAGAGCUAUCUACAAAAUAAGGCCGAUUUAGCAUCAUUUGGACUAAGAAGACCAAGGCUUCGCCGUAAAGGACGCUGAAGCACAUUUCUAGAGCCUCCGUAUACACGAAAGGUGGGGGGUGUCGUUCCGGAACAUCCGGGUUUCCUUUUAUGUCUGAGUUAACUAUAUUGAUCAUAUUGUGCUAUAGGAAUAGUAGUUGUACAUUUCCAUUCCUUGCAUGCUUCUUGGUAGUGUAGCGGGGUGAGCUUGACACGUGGACUAGGAUAGCAUGAGGAUUGGGUCUUGUGACAUAGAAUCCUAUAGCGGCAUAAAGAGCCGAACUUGGACAUAUGAUAGCCUAGUAGAGUGGCAUUGAACUAGUGUAGUAGAGACACUAAACUUGAACGAGUGGCAUGUCAAUUAGUAGGAAACUUACUACAAUGAUCGAACGAGUGGCAUUGAGUCCAGUAUAGUAAACUUGACAUGAACCUAGGGAUAGUAGAGGUCCCAACCUUGAUUAUAUAUCAUGACUGUGCAGCAGAGGCACAUUGACCCUAGUAGACAGGGUAUCCUCUUGUGAGGAUUGGAUCAUACUCACUAGUUUGUUUUGCUUGUCGGUGGUCACUCCACCGAAGCACGAGUCUCCGGAGUACUUCACUAGGGGCAGACGUAGUUGUCCCGCAGACGGUCUCGGUGUGCGAGUGCAGUUUCUCCUCACCCAUGAGAUUGAGAGUGAGUCGAGGGUUAACCUACGGGUCAACCAAGUAGAUUGGGUAAUAAACAUGAAAUGCAUAGUAGACUUGCAUUAUUACCUUGAGUAGACAUAGUGUAUGUUGUAGAUUACAUUGCUAUGCAUCUUUAUAUACUCAUGACAUGAUUCUAGCAUGUUAGUAGUUGUUGCAUGCAUUAUCAUCAUCGAUGGCAUGAUAGAGUAGUUACAGUUUACCUCUUUAUAUAUCUAUCUAUCUCUCUAUCUGUGCCAGCUUAGACCUAGUGGAAAAACCGGCGGCGUCGGCGGCCGAACCCACUGGGAACUAUAUUUAUAUAGUUCUCACCCCGUGCGGUUUUGGGGUACAGGUACACACAGAGGCGAGCCGAGCGAGGAUCGCGGCAAGGGCAUAGCGCCCUAAGUAAGCAUAGUUAGUAGCUUUCCUUUAUGCAUUAGAGUUCCCUCGUGUAUUAGAUGUUUUGGAUAGAUAUUGGAAAACCAUGGUGUAUUUUGAGAACAUAUAUUUACAUUUGGUAGAUGGAAAUGUAAUAUAUUCAAAUGAUGUAAAUGUUGAAUGGUUGUAUUAGUUAGAUGUACUCUCUUUAUACACUUGUAUUUCACUCGUGGUUCUUGCUCUUAGCUAUUGUACACUCGUGUGCAUCGUAUCGAUCAUGUAUGUUAUUUAAGCAUUCCCUGGGCACUUAACUGUACAUGAUCAGGUUGUUUGGCCUUAGGCGGAUAUGAGAGGUGCUGUCCGUUCGGCGUCUCUUCGACGUGCCCAAACCGGACCAAAUUGGUAGAGGUUUCGGGGCGUGACAGCGUGACCCGGACUAAGGCUCUCGGGGAGCGGUCCCAGGUCGGGGAGACCGGUCCCUCUGGGCGAAAAAUGCCCAAUAAGGGCAAUGCACAGAGAUGAAAGUUGAGGGGUUUGUUUGGAUAUUGUUACAUUAGAGGGGUAUGUAGGCCCCCUCUCUCUCUCCAACCCUCAUUUUUCCCUCACUCUCUCACACUCUUUUCUCUCCUUCUCUCUCUCUCUAGAAAGAAAAGAGAAGGAAGGAGAAAAAGAAGGAAGAAGAAGAAGGAGAAGAAAAGAAGAAAGAAAAGGAAGGAGAAGAAGAAGGAGAUCAAGCUAAGAAGGCUUUGGACCUCUCCCUCUUCCUCUCUUCUCAUUUGGAAGCUACAACAAGAGGUAGGCUUCUAACCCUAGUUGUGGAAUUUAGGGUUUUUGGGUUUUAGCUCUUUGGAUAGGAUCAAAUGGAUCCCUAGCACCAUGAAUGGUGGGAUUGGAGCUAGAAUCUAGGGUUUUGAGAUGGGUUUAGCUUGAUGCUAUCCCUAGGGCUCCAAAAUAGAAUUUUUGGUAAAGUAUGAGAUUUAUCUCAUUUGAGACCAUGUAAACCUAAUUGCUAGGUGUCUAAACGCGGGGGCGAAGUUGGAUUUUUGAUUCGUCAAGCGGAAGAAAAGAUAUCGGCAAAAUAAGGCCAACCAAACUUCGUUUCGACCUAAGGAAGCCGAGAGGCCAUUGUAACGUCCGUUGGGGGGCAUUUAUAGAGCCUCCAUACCCUCAAGAGGUGAGGGGUGUCAUCCCGAAGCAUCCGGAUUUCUUUUUAUGUCUAAAUUAUAUAUACAUUGAUAAUAUUGCAUUAUAGGAUUAAUAGAUAUUUUUUUUUUUCCUUGCAUGCUUCUUAGUAGUGUAACUUAUGAGUCGAACACAUGGACUAGGGUAGCAUGAGGAUUAGGUCUUGUGACAAGGAAAUCCUAUGAUGGCAUAAAGAGCCGAACUUGGAUAUAUGAUAGCCUAGUAGAGUGGCAUUGAACUAGUGUAGUAGAAACACUAAACAUGAACGAGUGGCAUGUCAAUUAGUUACAGAACAUUACUACGAUGAUCGAACGAGUGGCAUCGAGUCUAGUGCAGUAAAAAUGACAUGGUUCUUAGGAUAGUAGAGAUCCCAGCAUCUAGGAUGCAUUGUAUAUUGUGCAGCAGAGGCACGUUGACUCUUGUAGAUAGGGUAUCCUCUUGUGAGGAUUGGAUCAUACUCACUAGUCUGUUUUCGCUGUCGGUGGUCGCUCCACCGUAGCACGAGUCUUCGGAGUACUUCACUAGGGGCAGACGUAGUUGUCCCGCAGACGGUCUCGGUAUGCCAGUGCAGCUUCUCCUCACCUAUGAGAUUGAGAGUUAGUCGAGGGUUUAACCUACGGGUUAGCCAAGUAGAUUGGAUAAUAAACAUGAAAUGCAUAGUAGAUUUGCAUUAUUACCUUGAGUAGACAUAGUGCAUGUUGUAGUUUGCAUUGCUAUAUACUUUUCUAUACUCAUAACAUGAUACUAGCAUGAUAGUAGUUGUUGCAUGCAUUGUUAUCAUUGGUGGCAUGAUAGAGUAGCCGCAAUUCAUUUCUCUAUAUAUCUAUCUAUCUCUCUAUCUGUGCCAGCUUAGACCUAGUGGGAAAACCGGCGGAGUCGGCGGCCGAACCCACUGGGAACUAUAUUUAUAUAGUUCUCACCCCAUGUGGUUUUGGGGUACAGGUACAUACAGGGGCGAGCNUUUCCUAUUGUAUUUACUUUAUGUCUUAUUUAGUGGAUUUACAGUUUAUCCUCAUCCUUGGUUGUAGCAUUUAGACAUUUAUUAAGCUCUGAUACUCCUAGAUGUCUUUUAUUAUUGCUUUUAUUAUUGUUAUUUUUAGACGCCUUAUAUGUUGUAGACAUAUGGCGGGUCUGGGCACGCGCCGGGCGGGCUUCCGCUGUGCCCCGGGGCGUGACAGGGUGGGGGCAUGACAAUCGAUACCACUGUAGGGGGCGCAGGAUGCUCAGCCUCCACUUGUGCCGCCGCCGUCUGCUGCCGCUCCAAGGCCUCCUGGAGCCUUUGGAUUUGCUCCCCUUGGCGUUGAACGGACUCCGUUUGUUGCCGCACUACGCCAAUAAGCGCGGCCAUCUGCUCCCGAAGCUCCCCGUCGCCACCUACUCUGGGUUGCACGGGAGCCGCACUUGGCUCCUCGGCCAUAGACCUCGUUCGCGGUGGACCACGAGGCAUCCUAGGUUGUCCACAAGGUGGCAUUGCUUCCUGAACUGAAGCAAUUCACAUUAGUUACUCGCUACUAUACUCGAACAUACCCAAUUCGGCGAAAGCAACAAGUGUAUUUAUUUUCCUUCCAAAGCAUCAUGUCGUCGGCCGCCGAUCACAACACAUGGAAAAGAAAACAAAUAUCAUCUUAGAUUUAGUCCCUAACCACACUAGAGACAUAUUAACAUUAACUCAAUCAUAAGCUUUCGCUAUAGUUUGAUUCCACGUCGCUCACGUUUCUUAGAUCCUUAAGGUUUUCCAUUCCUAAGGGUCUCUAGGUCCAUCCUAUACUUUCACUUUUUCGCUCUUUAGUCUCUGAUACCAUUAUGUAUGUCACGCCCCGCGCCCGAUCCUUUUGGCCGGUUCGAGGGCGUCGAACAGAUGCCAAAUGGACAGAGCCUCCUCUGUUCGCCCAAGGCUCAACAACAGGUACUGAUAGAGUAUAAAAUUUGCACUUGCGGAAGCAUACAUAAUGGCUUGCACGAGGGCAAGCAAUAGCCAAAGUGAAAGGACUAACUAAACAAGUAAACAAGUAAUAUGAUUAACUUUAAAUCACAUACAUGUGUUCUACUUCAGAUUCUUUUACAACCUUUGCAUCAUUUCUUUUUACAUCGCAAGUUCUCCAAAAUAUGCCUUUGCACGAAGACCCGGGUGGUGCGACCACCACAAGUAUGAACAGACUGUGAGUAUGAUCAAUCCUCUCAACUCGAGGAUACCCUACUGGCUAGGGCUACAAGUCACUCGGGAAUCCACCUAUCCCAAAGCCCAAAUAUGAAUGUUUGGCUAUAUUAUGUUCUUGUCCAACGAGCCAUUUACUAGGGAAUCCACCUAUCCCUAUGUUCACAUGCCACUAGUGUCAUUUACACUAAGUUACAUGCCACUCGUUCUUGUUUGAUUAACAGUCAAUACCACUCAUUACGUCUUUAACAAUCAUCGAGUUCAUCUCUUUUCUCAGCAUAAUAGAAUUCAAUGUCAAGACCCAAUCCUCAUCUAACCAUCAUCAUGCAUUCAACGCAUACAUUGAUAUCUUUAGCAACAAUAAGGAAUGGAAUAACAUGCAAUCCUACAAUGCAACAUCCAAGAGAUGCAGAUUAUGAAGUACUAAGACAUAGAGAGGAACCCGGUUGCUUCGGGAUGACACCACCCACCUUUCGACGAUGUCACGCCCCGGGACCGGCGGAGGCCCUCCCGGUAGCGUGCCCAGACCCGCCAUAUGUCUACACAUAUAAGGCGUCUACAAUAAAAGCGGAAGUAAAAGCAAGUAAUAAAACAAUAGAAGAAGUGAAAUAACUAACAACUAAUGAUAUCAGAGCAAAUAUAGUUCUAACAUCUACACCAAGGUAAAGAAGUAAAGCUAGUCAAUAAAGGGGGUCAUAAGUAGUACAGAAACGGUGGUCUCUAAUACACUGGUAGAACUCUCAACCUCUCGCAAAAAGAAAUAAAAAAAUCGAGAGGCAGACCACCUAGCAACUCGUCCUCGAAGGAAGCUAGCUCGAAGCAACUCCCUUCCCGCGAUCCCUGNCUCGGUAUGCCAGUGCAGCUUCUCCUCACCUAUGAGAUUGAGAGUUAGUCGAGGGUUUAACCUACGGGUUAGCCAAGUAGAUUGGAUAAUAAACAUGAAAUGCAUAGUAGAUUUGCAUUAUUACCUUGAGUAGACAUAGUGCAUGUUGUAGUUUGCAUUGCUAUAUACUUUUCUAUACUCAUAACAUGAUACUAGCAUGAUAGUAGUUGUUGCAUGCAUUGUUAUCAUUGGUGGCAUGAUAGAGUAGCCGCAAUUCAUUUCUCUAUAUAUCUAUCUAUCUCUCUAUCUGUGCCAGCUUAGACCUAGUGGGAAAACCGGCGGAGUCGGCGGCCGAACCCACUGGGAACUAUAUUUAUAUAGUUCUCACCCCAUGUGGUUUUGGGGUACAGGUACAUACAGGGGCGAGCGGAGCGAGGAUCGCAGCAAGGGCAUAGCGCCCUAAGUGAGCUUAGUUAGUAGCUUUUCCUUUAUGCAUUAGAGUACCCUCGUGUACUAGGAGAUGUUUGGAUUGUUAUCGAAGAGCUACUUGUAUUUUGGAGAAAAACAUGUAUUUACAUUUUGGAAGAUAAAAAAUGUAAUAUAACUAACUUAUGUAAAUGUUGAAUGGUUGUAAUGGCUAGACUUAUCUCUCUUUAUACAUUUGUACUUAUACUUGUGGUUCUUGCACUUAGCUGAAUUGCACUUGUGUGCAUCGUAUUGAUCAUGUAUGUUAUUUAAGCAUUUCCUGGGCGCUUAAUUGUACUUGAUCAGGUUGUUGGGCCUUGGGCGAGCAGGGGAGGUCCUGUCCGUUCGGCGUCCGUCCGCCGCGCCCGAACCGGGCCAAAUUGGUAGCGGUCUCGGGGUGUGUAGCACACUAGACCUUUGCAAAUUGCGAGGUUCGAGUGUUCGAUGUGUAUUCCGAACUCUUCCACACUUGGUGGAGGGCCGUCGAUGGUGUAUCGGCCUAAAAGUUCGNGAAACAUGAAACCAAAUCUCAUAUAGAAUGCUAAAUGCAACCAACUCUCUCUCAAGCAACUCUCUACUACAUAGAGGUCCGAAAUUUCAUUACAUAUAACGUGGGCAUUUUAAGCACUCUAAAAUUCAUAAUAAAUACACUUGAUAUGAAAAUGCAUGAGUUAUUGGUAAACAAAGCACUUAUCACCAAAUAUGAGAUCUUCUCAUAUCAAGGCUAGGUCAAACCCACCAAAAUCGAAACUUUCGUUUCGCCGAACGGAGAUUUCCACAAGCUUCCUAGCACCCUAGGAACAUCAAACAUGGUGUCAUCCCAUCGAUACGAAGAGCAAUAAGCUCAAUCUUUAACAUAGAAGCAAAAAGGCCAAAACUCACCUCAAGAGUAGAAAUCUUCUUCUAAGCUCCAAAACAGAGCUAGAACCCUUCCAAUCCAAGUCCUAGGAAGGUUCUAAACCAACCAAUCAAGCCUCAAAAGCCCUAGGUUCAAAAAGCCCAAAAAUAAACCCUAAGUCUCAAAACUAGGGUUUCAUCUCAAAGGAAGUUCUAAAAUCCAAGACUAGAGGAAAGGAUCUUGCCACUUACCUCUUAGAAGCCUCAAAACCAGCUCAAAGUCCUCAAACUUCAAGUAUCUUCCCUCAAUCAAACUCCAAACCCAAGCCCCAAGCUUCAAAAAUGGUGGAAAUAGCUCCAAAAGGCAAAAGAGAGGGAAAAACCAUCAAAAUCCAAGCUAGAAUGAGAUCAAAACCAAAAAGGGGUGAAGGGGAGAGGUGCCCUACCUGAUUCCCCACUCUUCUCAGCUCAGGAGAGAGCCCUAGGGGCGUGGGUGCUGAUAUAAGAAGCCCACAAUUGCGAAAAACCCCCUGCAGUUCAAACUGCUCAGAAUCUGCACUGCGUACCGGUACACGGGCCCGCGUACCGGUACGCCUCCUACGAAAAUGCCCAGCCCAAGCCUCGGGUCGGCUGAGAAUAGGCUGAAAAUCGGCUGAUAAUCGGCUGAAAAUCGGCUGAUAAUCGGCUGAAAAUCGGCUGAUGUCGAUGGCUGUACCGGUACAGCCGUCACUCCCGUACCGGUACACAGUCCUCCGAAUGCAACCCGAGAGCUAUCCAAAAAUCUGAUUUUUCGGGUUUUCGUGCUCGGCUUUAAACCUCACUUCUCGGGAUGCGAGCCAUAGGUCGGAACACUGUCAACGACCCACCAGAAAAUCUGGAAAAACUCGGGACACUGUCCAAACACUCGAACCUCGCAAUUUGCAAAGGUCCAGUGCGCCACAGACGAGGUCGGAGUGCAAAGACACUAUUUGGCACUUGCUUCAACGUCGCUUCGACCUCCUAGAUAGAAACGAAGCUCGAUCGGUCUUAUUUUGCCGAUAACUUUUUACCGACUCGACAAAUGCUCAAUUCGGCUUCACCAACGCGUUUAGACACCUAUCAAUUAAGUUUAGAUUCCAUCAAUUGAGAUCAAACCUGUAAUAUACCAGAAAUUCAAAAAAUAAAUGUCGAACUUUAGUCAAAUUGACCAGAGUGCGAGGUUGGUACCCUUCGGAAAGUUCGAAGGUGUUAAAAUGAGUAAAAUAGUAUUGUGGGAGGUUUUCGAGAGCUAAAGAAUCAAAAAUCUUCAUUCUGCAGGUUUUGAGCUCUCUGGGACCAGUCCCUUGUGGGAGAGACCGGUUCCCGAACGCGUGAGAAAUGAGAAAGCUGAAAAAUCGACUAAGUCCCAGAAAACCAGCUCUCGGAAACUGGUCCCUGCGGGGAGAGACCGGUCCCUCUGGGAGAGACUGGUUGCAUCGCGCGGGGGCCCUGGCUGCCCACGGGGAGAGCUCUCUCGGACCGGUCCCAGGUCGGGAAGAUCGGUCCCCGAGCACGAAAAUGGCCCAGUCCAGGCAGCGUAAUAAGAUAAAAGUUGAGGGGCUUAUUUGCAUUUAUGCAAUAUAUGGGUUAUGUUAUGAGAGGUUAUGGGAUAUUUCUCUCAUUCCCUCCCUCUCAUAUAAUCUCUCCUCUCUUUCUCUCUCUAGAAGACAAGAAGGAGAAGAAGAAGGAAAUAAAGGAAAGGAAAGAAAGAGAAGAACAAGAAGACAAAGGUGGAGAAGAAUACCAAGGAGUGGAGCAACUCCUUCUUCUUCCUCUUUGGAGCAAAGAAGGGAAAGCUUUGAGGUAAGCUUUGACCCAUUUCAUGGUAAAACCCUAAAAUGAGAACCAAAUUAACCUAGGAAUGAUUUUGGUAGAGCCUCUUGGGUAUUACAAGCUUUCUUAUGCUUACUAAUGAGAUCAAAACCAUGGAUUGGGUGUAGGUGGUGAAGCUUAGAGGUAAUGUCACGCCCUGGGACCCAGCGGAAGCCCGUCCGGCGCGUGCCCAGAUGUGACGCACUGGACCUUUGCAAAUUGCGAGGUUCGAGUGUUUGAUCUGUGUGACGAGCCAUCUCAGACUUUCUGAAGGGUCGUAGGCAGUGUUCCGACCCAUGGUUCGAGUCCCGAGGAUUGUGGAUUGGAGCGGUGUACCAAAAUCCAAAAAGUUGGAUUUUUGGUUAGCUCUCGGGUUGCCUUCAGCGGGCUGCGUACCGGUACGGGUUCGCUUGCUGUACCGGUACNAAGGCCCAAAGCUACAAAGAAAGUGGUCAGUAGCUAUAAAAGUAAUAAAGCGAAAGGUAAGUAAAAGUGUAACUUACUAUAACCAGAUGUCUCUACUUAGCAUGAUAGGCAUAAGAAUAAGCAACUAUAAUAUAAAUGUACAUGGAUGUGUAUACAUGAAUACCCAUAGGUAUGCAAUCAAUACGAUGUCCUCAAUGCAAUUAGUAAAGAUGUCAUUGUUUACUAUUCUAGUCGAUGCCCAGUCAAUAUACUAAGUCAUCAUCUGUCCACAUGUCAUAGUGAAUACUCAAAGUCAAAUCUGAAGAGACCCACCCGAAGGUUGUCUAUGGCCCUGAGACCCACCCGUAGGCUGUCUGGCCGAUGCCGAGCCUAGUGGCCCUGUGGUAGUCAUCAUCUCCACCCUAGGAAUGAGCCUAGCCCACGGCAAUUCACUUCGGCACCCAAUCCCGAACGGCGAAUAUAAAUCGCGAUGGCCAUCUCCGGAGUGCCGGCUUGUAGGGAGCGACCCUCACAAGCAUGUGCGAAUGAGCACAAUGGCAAGUAGUCAUAUGUCCUGUCACAAGUACCAAGUCCUCAUGUCUAGCUAAUAACAUGGAAUGUAUCGAAUGUCCCAAAGGCCUAUCUCUAUGUCAUCAUGUCUCUAACAUGGAAUAUAUAGUAGAUGUACAAUGGCCUAACAUUAUGUCUCUAUGUUGCGGUUUCAUAGUUUACUAGUUUCAAGUGCCUCUUGAUGACCCUUCAUGCUACUAAGUCCAAACAUAGUAUAAUGUUUCCAAUACGCGAAUAUGAGCUAAUUCAGCAUACAAGACGAGAAUCCCAUUGGUCCAUAUGAACACUCCUCACAUGCAUGAAAAUAACCCUGAUUACUCUACUGUAUAGAGUGAAAUUUAACUUACACAUAAGGCAUGCAUUUUAAGUGUUGUAAAAUUCAAAUAAAUUUCAAUUAGCAUAGAAAUGCAUUCAAAAAUAUAUUACAACAAGUAUAGAGAAUAUAGGGGCCAUUUUGCCUCUUUUCCACGAAGCCAAACCCACCGAUUUUUCGAACUCUUCGUUUCGCCGAACGAAAGUGUCCACUAGCCUCCUAGUACCCUAAGGAUGUAGGAACAAGUGUUAUCCAAACGAAACGAACAACAGAUUGCUCAAUCAUUAACCAUUCCGGGCUAGGGUUGAAGAAAACUCACCGAUUGCGAAGGAAGCUCUCUCGAUCUCAAAAGGGAAGUUAGAGUCCUUCCAAUCUAACCUAAACAAAGAUUCUAAACCCAUCAAUUAGGUUUCAAAGCCCUUAAAUCAAAAAUCCCCAUUUCUAGCCCUAGAAUCCAAAAUCUAGGGUUUCGAUCAAAAGAACCAUCAAAACAUGUACCAAAAGGGAAAUACAUGUUACUAACCUCUCUAGAAGCUCCAAACUAGGCUCCAAUCCAAAUGGGGUUGAAGAUCCUCCCUCCACAAAGCUCCAAUCCCGAGCUCAAGGCUUCUCUCAUGGAGGAAACCCAAAAAGAAGCAAGAAAAGCAAGGAGGAGGAGAUCAAAACCUACCAAAAUCCAUCAAAAAUGGAAAAAAUGGAAAGAAAACUCAAAGAGGGAGAGUCUCACCUUGUCUCCACAGAACUAGGGCUCAAAACCCUGUCUAAGGGGGCUGGGGUCACUUAUAUAGGGGUUGCAACAAUUGCAAAAAUACCCCUCCACGAAAACAGCCCACUCUGCACUGUGUACCGGUACACGGGUUUGUGUACCGGUACACCACCCACGAAAAGCCAAACUCGAGCCUCAGGUUUGCUGGGAAAUAGCCUAUGUACCGGUACACAGGCCCGCGUACCGGUACAACCAUCACCGCGUACCGGUACAGCCAUCAAGUCUGUACCGGUACACUGCCCUCUGAAAGCUAACCGAGAGCUAACCAAAAAUCUAACUUUUUGGAUUUUGGUGCACAGCUUAAAACCUCCAUUCUCGGAACUCGAACCAUAGGUCGGAACACUGUCGACGACCUACCAGAAUGUUUGGAAAAGCCCAGAACACAAUCAAUCACUCGAACCUUGCAAUUUGCAAAGGUCCAGUGCAUUACAGGUAAGCUUCCUCCCCUCUCAUGGUAGAACCCAAACUAGGGUUUGGAUUGAGCUAAUAAUGGUUUCUAUAGAACCUUAGAGUAAUUGAAGCUCUCUUUUGCUUCCUAAUGAGAUCAAACCCUAGGUUUUGUAUAUGUGUUGGAGCUAGGGCACCCAAAUUGGGGCUUUUGCUUGUGAGGGUUCCAAAGUGAAAUUGACCAUCUAGAAACCUAAUUUGGGGUAUUUUCGAUGCGUUUGUGCGCUCGGUUUAACGUUACGAAAAGCCUAUGUAAAGUUAUGAGCGAAGUGGCCUAAUAUGGCUUCGUUUUGCUGCAGGUAGCGAACUAGGUGGCUAAAAAUCCCGAGAAAUUCACAGUAACACCUAAGAAAGCCUACGAGGUGGGUGGUGCUCUCCAAACUUGUUGGAAUUACCUUUAUGUCUAAUGUGUCACUUCUUGAGCAUACUUAUGUACAUUGUUGCAUGCAUAAUUAGGGUAAUGAGAUUAUAAAUAUGUGAAUGUUUGCAUUUUGUGAGUUUAAGUGCAUCAUGAGAUGGUCGAGGACCAAUGAGAAUGUAAUAACUCUAUAUGUGCAUGUAAAAGAGAUAAGAACUAAGUAAAGUUAAAGAACAAGUGACAUAUGACAUGAAGACAAUGAAAUGUGAGAAUGAAAGCUAGAGUUAGCAUAAAGAUUGACGUAAAGAACACUAGAGCUAGUGUGUGGCAUCAGAGAGAACAAAAUGUGGUAUAAAGAAAGAUAAAAGCUAGAGUUAGCAAAUGUGUGGCAUUAAAGAAUGAUAAUUAUUAGAGUUAGUAACAAAAUGUGGCAUAAAGAACAAUGGCUAAAGAUAGCAUUAAAUGUGUGGCAAAGAACACUAGAGUUAGUGUAAAAACAUGAUGAAAGUAAAGAAUGCAAAGAAUACUAGAGUUAGUGUAGUGACAUGGUCAAAGUAAAGAAUGCAAAGAACAUGAGAUUGACACAAUGACAUUCAACCUUAAAGCUAAGGGCCAUUUGUGCAAAAUUUCUUAGAGUUAAGGAACAGAUUGAACUGAACAUCCUUAGAGUUAAGGAUUGAUCAUACUCGCUAUAAGUCCUUAUUCGAGGGCGGUAGCUCUCCCUCGGGCGAUGCGUUCCGGAGUUUGUCAUCACUGGGUUGGUGCUGUUCCCCAGAGGACGGUCCUAGCGGGAGAAAGCUGAGGGCCUGCGAUCAUGGAUUUUGAGUUGGUGAGUUAAUGAGGCGAUACCCCCGGAUUAGCCUUGAGAUUGAACGAAAGAAUAAAGAACAAAGAACAAAGACCAUGCAUUCUUCAUGAGUUAGAUUGAGCAUCAUUUUUUAUCGCAUUAUUCAAGCAUAUUAGUUACAUUUGUAUAGUUUGCUACUUUUCAGCUUAUUCUUUCUAUUAUGCCUGAGUUAGACCUAGUGGGAAAGUCAGUAAGAUUGGGGCCGAACCCACUAGGAACUUCGUUGUAGUUCUCACCCCACUUUUUCCACAGAGCCGGGACCGAGCAAGCCGACGAGCGACUGCGGUAAAGGUAUCGCGCCAUAGUCAGUGACUACCCGAGUUGGGUUUGCAUUUUGUAGUAGCAUUUCCCCUACUUCAUCUUUGUAUUUGAUGAAUUGAGAUGUAAAAGAAAAGAAUGUAAUAUUUAUCUCGAGGAGAAUGUGAUGUAAAAAGAAAUGAUGAAAAGUAUGUAAAGAACUAUGAAUGUACAAGUUAAAUGCAAUGUAUGUGAUCACAAGAGAAUCAUAGUACUUGUGUAGAUGUUUAGUUUCCUUUCUUUCACUCAUGACUAUUGCUUACCCUCGUGUAAGCCGUUUGUGUAUGUUUCCACUAGUACUUUUCUCUACUUGAAAAUGUACAGGUGAUAAGCCUUGGGCGAGCAGGAGAAACUCUGUCCGUUCGGCAUCUGUUUGACGUGCUCGGGCCGGCCGAAAUUGGUAUCGGUUUCGGAGCAUGACAGAUAUUGUGAUAUCAGAGCCAAAGUGAAAGAAUAAGAAUGGACCUACAGACCCUUAGGACUGGCAAGGACUUAAGGAUCUAGGAAACGUGAGUGAUAUGGAAUUAAAGUUAGCGAAAGCAUGCAAUUGGGUGAAGUUGUUUUGCCUUACAAUACUCACUGUUUUUAGUGCACGCACUGGUGACGGGGUUAAUCGGAUGGCAUUGUCCCAAUGCCUCUCUGAAUGGGGUGGGUAUAAGGUGACUGAAAUGAGCUACAGGAUGGGCAUAGCGUAGAAGAUUUCAAACUUGUCACGGGUUUCUAGCGGAUUUGUAUUUAAAGAUUGGCACCCAUCUCAAAUCAAUCCCAUUCUGAUAACUUUGUUAAUAUAUGUAGUGUUGAUAAAAUUAAAUUUUAAUAUCCAAAACAAAAUGCUAAAAUCACACCGAUUUUUACAUAUCUUUUUAUAAAAAAAUUUAUGUUGCAAUUAUUAGGAUCUAAUCUCUGUCUUGUUUUACGAAUUCCUUAACCAAUUAUUAGAGUCCAUCGCAGCACAUGGCCCAAAUUCUUAGGGUUUCUGAUAGUGUCCAAAAGCGAACCCAAGAGAGAAAAUUUUAUGGAAAGAUUAUAUUAAUUUUUCUUGCAUCUUGUAUGUGGCCAAUAUCUCAUAUAUUUAUAGGUCAUAAAAAAGACGUUAAUCCUAAUCCUAUUCUAACUGAAUCUCAUAUAGAUAGAAAUUUGAACAGAUUAGAAUCUAUCUCUUAAAUUUAUUCCUUUAUCCCAUAUGGAUUAGGAAUAUUUUAGAUAUGUUUUAAUAUUUAUUUCUUAUCCCAUAUGGAUUAGAAAUAUUUUAAAUAAAUCCAAAUGUGGACGAAUUCCAAUAUGUAUAAUAUUUAGUAUUGUUAACCUAUUAUAUAUGAAUUAGUUGCUUUGUAGUUGAAGUGCGAUAACCUUUAAACGGGUUAGGUGGUAUGAGACCAAAACUUUCAGAACAGGGUUUGGAACUAGAAGGGCAACUUUCAACUCGACGGCGUGUGGAUCUCGGUCUGGGUCUGGGUCUGGGUCUGGGGCCCCAUUUAUCUUUGGCCGGCACAGAAAUAAGCUGCUCGACGGGAUCCUCUCGAGAUGCAUAAAAUCAAACAACUGAAAUUAAAUGUUUACCUUAUAGCCGGGAGAUGACACGUUUGAAUCUUUCUUAAGAUUAUGACUACUUCCCGUUAUGGAUUUGCAAUAUUAUCAUCGCCCAGCCCAAAUUAAAGUUUGGUUGAGACUUACAAUAUAUACUAGUAAGGGUACAUUUGGUUUCCUAAGAGUGGUUAAAAUAAAAAAAUUAUUAUUUUUAUAAAAGUGACUAUUAUAAAAAUAACUUUGAAUUAUAUUAUUUGGUUGGGUGCAAAGUCAAAAUAAAAAAUUAUAGUUUUGUGGUUUUGAUUAUUUAAUUAUAAAUAAAGGGGAGAAAAAUAUAAACAAACAACUGAUACUUGUAAUUUAAAUUUAAAUCUAAAUCUAAAUUUGAAUGCAAAGUUAAAUUUUAAAUUUUAAAUUUUAAUUUAAAUUUAAAUAUGAGUUAAAUUUAUAAUUAAAAUUGAAGGCAUACAAUUAAAUUUGUAAUUUGAAUUGAAAAUUUACGUUAUAACUCAUAACUGAAAUUAAAUUUUAAAAUUAAAUUUCAACUAAUAAAUUUAAAAUUGGAAUUCAAGUUUCGAUAGAUAAUUUGAACUUAGUAGUUCGAAAUAAUUUGAAUUCGAAGUUCAAAUUGAAAUUUUUUGGCUAUAAAUACUUUGAAUAGAAUUUAAAUUUGAAUAUUUUUAUUUAAAUUUAAAUUUAAAUUUUCAAACUACAAUUUAAAUUUGAAUAAUAAUUUAAAUUUAAGCCUUAAAUUUAAAAAUAAAUUUGGAAAUUUGAAUAUAAAAAUUGUGUUAAUUUUGAAGCUACAAAUAAAAUUCAAAAUGUGAAAUUAAAUUCAUGAUUUUAAAUCAGAUUUAAAGUGGAAAUUCAACUCUAAAAAUAAAUCCAAAUAUUAAAAUUAAGAGCUCUCCAUUUCCGUGUAACCAAGUAUGCCCUAACAAGCAAAAGGAACCAAGUCAAAAACAAAUAACAUUGUAGCAUAAGCUGAGGGAUUUAGGGCCCCUCGGAAUUGGGCGAAGAAUGCAUUAUGUGGUUAAGGAAAAGUACAAUUGUUUCCACAAGUUAUAACGACGCCGUGCAAAUUGCAGUGGUUCAGCACGCGAUAUUAUACCAUACCACGUCAGCAUUAAUAAAUUAUACUUUGCAGUGGUUCGGCAUACGAUAUAAUCAGCAUAUUUCUUAAUAAUUAUACUACGUGGCACUAAUUGCGGCAAUUCAGUAGAAGAUAUUUUUUUCUUCGAUCCUGUUCACAAAAAGAGAAAAGUUUACCUCUACGGACUACACUGAAAACUCCUUUUUGGUCCAACAGCAUCAGGCACGCAUGCAUGCAUAAUUAGAAUAGAUUUUGGCUGACCGUGAAAAUACCUACGCUAGCCCCUCAAUGUUGGCAUAGAGGCCACCUGACAAUAGUACUUAGAUCCAACUUUAUGCGUAAAUGAGAUGUUAGCAGCAGAUCUAACGACGAAAAAUAAGCCUCCCACAAUCUCACACUCAAGUGCCACAGGUAUUAUUACACAAUAUUUUCUUCACAAUCAUUCACAGAAAACACCAAAGCCGCUAUCUCUUGGGGAUCAUCUAAUGUACAAAAUUAGAUGAUAUAUUAUCUCAAAAGCACAUCUUAGGGUAUGUGCCAAUCUUCAAGGCAGUCAUACAUUUAGAUAACUGUCAAAUAUUCACGUAAGUUCCCAAGAAGAUGACGAGUAUAUAAAACCCUAAAGUAGCUGUUACACAUUUACAAAAGGUGUAUCUAUGGUAAUACACUAGACGGACAUUUAUGAAAGCACAUCUAGCGUAACCCCAUGGUGAUAAUAAGUAUAGACUUUUCACAACAGACGAGACCAGACUGUACUUAAACACUUGCAGUAUCCAGCAAAAUCCAAGUUUGGGCUGAAAAAAUCUUGUUUAACAAAUCCUUCAUAAGACGCAUCUCAAAUUAUGCGACAAAAAAGAGGAUCAGCUUUGUAUAGAAGUAAAAAAUAUGGAUCUUAUGACUUGUUUUCGGAGUUGGAUUCUGACUGCAGCCUCUGGUGAAUUUGAUUGCGCAAGAUACUCAUAUAUUCCUAGAAGAGCAAAAAAAUUGACGGGAUGUAAUAUAGAAUUUAGAGGCAUCAAACAAAAUGCAACAAGAAUUAUUCUUUAAUCACUUCAAAUACUGUUAAAAAAUAAAAACUAUAUGCAUGAAAAAGAUUCGAUACUCAUUUGUUGGUGAGCAGCGCCCACAGAUGUCAAAAUCAAUAAUAAAACGAGACAAGAUGUCCUACUAUCAUAACAUAUGCGUUCUAGGAACAACAGUUGCUACCUCGGCAAAUGGAAUGAGACCAUUACACAAGUAAAAGAGAAUUAUAUUACUCAUAAAACUAGUAAAGAUUAGGUCUAUAGUAUGUUGGUAGAUUAAAAUGUAUGGUAAGAAGGUAGCAGCAAAUCUAACUUUAGAUCACAAAAAAGGAUCUUUGGUAUCCAACAUAUGUCACAUUUCCUUCUAUUUGGGCAAAGUUAAUACGUUUAACAGUCUCAAAGCCAUCAAGCAAUGACUACUCCUAUUGGGAAGCAAAGAACAUUAUCUUUCAGAACUUCAGAUCAAAUAGAUGGCCAAUGUUAGAGUUCAACAAGGAAAUAAGAACCAAAAGUCUACAAUAGCGAUCUAUGCCAACAUAGGGAUAUCAGAUGACUCGAUCACACUUGGAAGACAAAUCAUAUUAAUUCCUGGUACAUUCAAAGCUAGUUGUCACGGACAAAAUGUUUCCCGCUGACUUCUCCUUGACAGUGGCCCAACUCUGCUAGCGAAACGGGUUGAAAAUGGAUUGAAUCGGAUUGUCAAGGAGACCCAAAUCCAAACCGCUGUGGGGAGACAAAGGGUUUUGUAGUUCUCCCAUCAAUGAUGAAAACUCAAAGGGUUAUGAAACUCUCAUGAGUUAUGGAGUGACUUUUGGGCUUAUGGCUCAUUAUGAGGGUGAGUUAAUGUAUCUCAUAAUGAGAGAGUUAGUGUGUGUCUAGGUUCAUUGUAUCUAGGAGCAUAUAAGUAGUGGGGUUUGGCUAAGGUCAAAACACACAAGAGAGAGUGUGUAUAUGAGUUGUAAUUCUCAUUUUCUAAGUAGUGUAGUACUUAGCUUUUUGAGAGAACCUCUGCCUUUUUCUCUUGCGUCAUUCUCUUUGCAUACUUAGUCGUAGGACGCGAAGGUUCGGACUAGCAAUAAGGACGAAGGCUUGCCCAUCUUCGAGCAGGAAGGUGGGCGCCGCAUGGGCUUUGCGAACAGAAACGCUAAGGCCGUGACAUAGUGCUCAUUCAAUGGAGAAUAAAAUAAUAUACAUUAAUGUUUGCCUUUUUAGCAUAAGAUUAUACAAAAGAUAUUGAAUAUUUCCUAGCUAUGAUUUCUGAUGUAAUAGACAAGUAUCACUGUGCUCUACACCAUUAGAAACUGCCUUCACUAACCAGCACUAGAGAUUGUGUGUCAUUCAUGACCCAAACAUGACACAAAUCUAUGGUAUAUCAUAUGAAUAAGCAGAUUUUGAAUUUGUAGGAUGUUUCUAGAGAGGAUAUACGAGCCUCAUAGUUUUAAUCAAGACAGUGCUAUCUGUACACCCAAAAGGUGCAAAUCUUACAACCCUCCAUCCUAAGGUUUAGAAAAAAUUUUGGGUUCUCUCUAGGCGUCACAGACUAUGAUACGAGACACGGAACACAACAUGACUCGAACAUGGUGACUCGACAGUUUCAAAAAAAUUAGAACACAGAAACGGCAUAGACACUGCUAAUAAAACAUAAUAGUAUUAAUAUAGUAACAUAUAUUAUUAUAUAUUAGUAGUUAAUUUUACUAAAAUAUUAAUAUAUUUCGCACAAUAAAAUUCUCAUUAAUAAUUCAUAUGUUUUAAGAAUAAUUUAUUUAUAUUGUCCAACAAAAUUUGAAUGUAUUCAUCAAAAACCAAAAGAUUUAUUAUCUUACAUUAUAUAUUUAUAUAAGUAAAAUAAAAUUAGAUAUAUAUAUUUUUUAACGGGAUGCGGUAUGGACCUGCGCCGAACGCGUGUUCAUGGCAUGACCAUGUCGGACACGAUUCCGACACGGACACACGAAGCUUAUAGAAGUAUCCGUAAAACAUAGGGUUCUCUUCUUGUCAACUUAUUUUUAUUUUUAAUAUUAAAAAUCCAAAGGAUUUGUAAAACCUAGAAUGAAGAGGUGUAAGAUUUACACCCCUUUUUGGGGUGUACAGCAAGCAUUUUCCUUUAAUCAAAAUACUAAAUGCUAUACAGCAACAAACUGCAGCAAAGGUAGCCAAUUUCAAUUGCAAGAUGCCAAAUAAAAAAUGCUUAAAGAAAUUAUUUAUUAAGACAUGCUCCGCAGAUGCAGCAAAGAUAGCCAAUUUCAAUUGCAAGAUGCCAAAUCAAAAAUGCUUAAAGAAAUUAUUUUAUUAAGACGUGCUCCGCAGAGAUAGCCGAUUAUCAGCAAAAGCAUGAAAACUUUGGAAGAUGUACAUGCAAAACGGAGAGAUAAUACGUACAUUUGCAAGCUCUGUAUUCCCACUAAGUUCCCCAGCAAGAUCAUGGAAGCUGUUAUCUUCACCAUUCAGACGACCAGCACCUUCAAGCACAGCAUGAAAAAUAUCUGCAGGGGAAUCAUGCCGUGCAAUUCUUUCACAAGCUUGAUGGAGAUCAAUCUGAACACAAAAUAUCAAUAAAAAAAGGAACAAAAAAUCAGCUGGUGGAUGUUGUCAAGUUUGUCAGUCUCUUUUAAAAAUAAAAAAUGACCAGUCAUAUUAGGUAGACACUUAGACGAGGACCAUGUUUUAUCUCCUAAUUAAAUAUGUUGGACAUGAUUAGGUGGAUGGAGAAAUAUAUGAAAGAAAAGGCUUGGGUAAAAAACUAACAAAAGCAACAAGUAAAUGAAUUAUCACAUGCUUUUUGUAUACAAUUUCUAGAGAAGGCAAGUUCCUGUGCUCGACAUCCAGAAGCAACGCAAUGGAGCAUGUAAAAUGCAAAGCUUCCUAUCAAACACUCCCUCUUAUGAAAAGAAAAGGACGGUAAUUAAAGGAUAAAACGUAAGGACAAAGUAAAAGAUCAGAAGAAGACAGAAUUUCCUGAUCUGGAAGUUGGAAAACAUUGAUCUCCCAACAAAUUUCUGCAAUUUUCUCUCUUGUUCGUUUCAAUGAAUAACAGGUGCUGAACUCAAUUUCCGUUUCAGUUACUUGGCAGAAGAUCCAGCUAUUUACACUCCCUUUGGAUGGAGAGGCGAAAAAGGAAAAGAAAGUUAGGGGAGUCAUUUAUCUUGUUUGAAUUGAAACAUGAGGAACGAAAAGGAAAGAGGAAGAGAAAAUGACCUUCCAUGAUGGUUGAUCUUUUUUCCCUUUGAAAAGUGGAUAGAAAGGGAGUGUUAGUUUUCUCGUCUUCUUCCCUUCAUCCAUACAACAUGAGAGCAAAAUACUUUCUUUUCUCCUCCUCUCCUUCAUUUUUAUUUUCUUCUCUUCUAUUCUCUCCAUCCAAACAAAGGAUUAGAUUUGGUGUAUUACCUUCCUUAAGUGUGUCCUGUCCUUGGUAGGCCACCACCAUAAGUUAACUAAAAUAUAGAAGCCUCUUUUGACUUCAGAGAUUGUCUUGAAAAAUAGACAAAACACAGACUACCUAGUUUGGACAUCAUAGACACAUCAAAAAGCAACUAUAAUGUCAAAGUGACUGCAUGAGGGAAUCCCACGCAUCCAUCUUUUUGACUUUUGCCAAGUCAAUCAAAUGAAUGGCACUAAAUGCAGUGACUAUCAAAGAAGCACAGUAGCUCACUCCACCUUUCUAUUUGCAAUUUUGGUGCAUAACACAUAAAGGCAUUGUUCAAUGUCAAGAUUUCUUCAUUCAUUCUCCUCUUCCUUAAAGAAAGGAAAAAGAGGGAAACAAAUAAAGAACCAAAGAUAUGCUGAACUAUUUUUUGCUGACAUAGCAAUCUAUACCUAAAAAUACGGAAUUUAAGACCAAAAAGAAAAAAUUAAAAAAAAGUACGCCUAAAUGGGGUAUAAAUAUGUACCAAAGUAUCCCUGUUGUUUGACAUGUCAGAUUGACAAAUUCUACUAUCAUUCCUCAGGUGCCGAGGUUCAGAUUGCACACCAUUGACCGCUGUAGCCCAUGGAGAUCCUCCGCUUAGAGCUUGUGAGACAACAGGCAUCAUCUGCUGAAUCAUCCUUGAAAAACCAAGCCCACCCUGACCACCCAAACCGAGUAACAUGCUCCCAAGUUCUUGGCCGCCGCCACCUUGUCCUUCAGCCUGUUGAACCAUACCAUCCAGCGCACUCCUUAAUGCAGGGCUCCGCAUGCACUGUUCCAUCAUGCUCCUCAAAUCAGUGGGCGAGCUGACGCCAGUCUGCUCGGCUACAUUUGUCAAAAGAUUGUUGAAAACAGGGGUCUGGAGGACCCGCGAUAUCAUAUUGCUAACAUUGGCUUGUCCUACAGUAGAGGACGGUGUUGGAAUGGAGGAGCCUUGGUCAUUCAUUGGACUAUUUGAAUCGGAGCUUUGUGACACAAGAGAUCGCGGAAUCUGCUGGCCCCUAGUGAUUGAUUGCUGAUUUUGAUUUACCGAAGAGGUUUCACUCCCGCUAGGUUUUGCUGGUUUGCGUCUCUGAGGAAGACAAUAAAAGAGAAGUAUAUAAGAUAUCUAAUGCAAGCAUUGAAAACUAGAAAACAAGAAAUAAAAAUUUAACCAAAUUUGAAUAUCACUUUUCAACGUUUCAUAUAGCAAGCUGACAUUCUUUAUCACCUUAGGCUGCAAACUCCCAAAACCUAACCCCAAGGGAGCAGGCAUAUCACUUUCAGAGCUGGGUCGAGAAGCGCCCAUAUGUCCAUCUGGCUGGGAAUUUUUCUCCAUCGACUUAUCAGCUGAUGAACUGGAGGGAACAUCACUAUGUUCCCUAUUUGAUGAUCCAGCUGCAGAAUCACCGCGAUUAAUAUUAUCAAGCACAAUCGUGUUUGAUGAUGAAGAUGACAAGCUACUCCCUGCAGUAGCACUGGACAAUGCAUUAUCAUUCUGUGCACUUGUUGAAGCAGAAAGUGCAGACCCAGAACCUGCCUCUGAGAAAGUUGGAGGAAAUGGGUUAGAUGUAAUAGCAGGUUGUGCUCCAAUGUUCACAGUUGGAUGAGAUACUUGUGCUUCGUUUCUUAAAGUAAAAGAUGAUAAAUUCUGGCCUGGCACAUUCCCAGAUAAAGCACUAGUGGCGCGUGCAUUAAUCUGUGCAACUACCGCAGGGAUACCACCAGGCCCUGAGAAAGUUUGUGGGAUAACAACGGCCGCAUUGGGCUGAGGGGCCGGUUGGUUAGGGAGUGAUGGUGAUUGAGGCCUCACUUGAAUAGGGUAAAUAACACUUAGAACAUGAUUUCCACUCUCAGCAGGUGAGCGUGCCGGUAUAGCUGCAACCACUGUCCUUGCUGGCAUCCCUCGCACUGAAGAAGCUGAAUCACCUGAAAUAUUUCCACCUUGGGCAACUUGUUCCAUGUUAGGCUGUUCUCCAUGAGCAGCAUCACCUGAAGUUGUCCUUGUACCAGCAGUUGAACCACCACCAGUUGUUGAAGUACCUGUUGGUAAGGAAGAUUUUAGACCACCACCCUACUAGAAGAGAAAUUAAUCCCUGGAUCUGGUCCACCACUUCAGACACAAAGCAGCCCCAUAUAUUUUUAACCCUAGAGACCUUAGAAUCUAAAUGUAAACCAUGUCCAUUAAAUCUCUAAAUGUUCUAUUAUGAAAAAUAGGAAGUUCUGGGAAACUUAUUCCAAAAAGUCAAUGGCUAGCUAUUGUUUGUUACGUGAGAACUAGGCUUUUAAAAAGUAGGAUUUUUUUAACAUGGAGGCCCUUUAGGUGUUGGAGAUCAUGCCCAACAGCUUAAAACUCCACUUUAAAACAUCAAGGAUUGUAUUUUAGGGAUCAGCCCACAGUGCACCACAUCCAGACAACAAAUUCUCGCAGUAGAAAGGUUAGAGGGGUAUAACAUUUCAUCACCAGCAUGAAUAUGGAUGUUGAUGUUUCUCGAAGGAUCUCCACCAGCCAAUGGACCAGUAGCUCCAUUUACAAAAGGGGUAGGACUAACACCAAACAAGGAGCUAGUCUGAAGAGGAAAAGGCUGCAGUAGAAAGCAAUAUGUUGAUGCAAAAAUUGCUCAAUAAAAAAUUUCUAAUAUCAGGAAGUAGAGAAAAUAAACGGCAACCUGAACCAUAAUAGGAUUUGGACCUGUAGCAGAUAUAUAAACUGAGGGUCCAGAGUUUACAAAAGAUUCAGCCUGCACCAUUCAAAAAAGAAAUCAGCUAAUGGUUCAAGGAACUCAAACUAUAAACAAACAUAAAUAAUUAGCAUACAGGAGAUUGCCCCAUGCGAAGUGUCAUAGUUGUCCGACCAAGCUCCAAAAGCAUAGCACCUAAAUGCUGCAUAGCUAGUCCUGCAUGCAUCGCCUCAUUUUGAAUCCGAGUCCGCACAGCUGCAUCAAUUGAAGUGGCCUCUCCCUCCAGACGUUGUGCAAUAUGCUGAAAUAAUCAUUUAGAGAAUGGAAUAUUUCGUGCAUAUUUCAUGACGCCAAAUUAUCAUAGUUAAUAUUUACCGAACACUGAAUUUGGAGCUGCGAAUUAUUUGUAAAUCACAACAGGUCAAAGAAACAUUUGCACUUUGAGCACAGAUUCUGUGAAUUAUUACUAGCAUCUUUAAUAUCACUGAACUGGCCAAUAUGACUUGGUCAAGAUAUAAGGUAGAUUCAAAUCAAGGAGUUCAAUUCCACUUUAGAAUUUUAGCGAAAAUGACCAUAGAAAUUUUCUUUUCACUUGGCUAUUCAGUUUUCUUGUGCUUACAAAUAAAGUCGAAUCACUACAUUAGAAAAUUGGGUUAAUUACUACAUAUCCUGUAAACUUCUAAAAUUGCUUCCUGUUCCUAAAGGCCCUGUUUGGAUGUCAAAACAAGACAUCCAACAUACUCGGUAUGAAGAUUUUCUUGCCUAAAUAGAAGAUAGGAGUUUGGUUUUUACUCAUUGAAAGGCCUUCGCACCCAUGAUUUGAUAAGAUAGUAUAUUUGACCUACGAGGUAAUUUAUCUUACUUGGAAAAAACAACUCAAAAGGCUAAAUAUGAUAUCCAUUUUGGACAAUUUUGAUCACACUCCUCAUCUACCAAAUACUACAUGCUUCUUGAGUAAAUCAAUGGGAUAUACCAAAGAAGGUGUUCAUGCAUCCAAACAGGCAGCAAACUUUGAAGUAACUCCAACAUAUCCAUCUAAAUCUCUGAAAUAUUGGCCCUUGCACCACACUCUCAACUGCCCAGCACUCACUAUUGGAAAGUUAUCAAGGUCGAUUUAAAUGACAACAUUACGCCCAUAAAUAUUUCCCUGAAAACUUCUAAUAAUGAUCAUCUUCUUUUCCAUGGCUCUUCUUCCCUCAGUUCUCCAGCCUAAUCUACAGCCCCACCUCUGGCCAAAUUCUAUAGUCAAUUCCCAAGCCCACCCAAGCCCACCUACGGCCUAACUCUCCAGCCAUUUACCAAGUCCCACUCCACCCUUAACUCCCCAAUCCCCCACAUUGUCCCCAACCAUCAAAGCAAUCUCCUCAGUUAAAUUCUAAAUUGAACCUACGGAAUUUGAUAGAUGAAGCAUGACCUAAGUACUCAUCCAUUUAUGUGGAAGAAAUAAAGUGUUGAAGCUAAAUUAUGUUGCUAGCCUGAAGAGGAGUACAUGAAUAACUAAUCCACCAAAAAGCUUCGUUGUAUUUAUGGAUCGUUCUCUUAGAGCAUCUCUAGUCUAACAUGUCUUAGCAGUUCCCACCACCUUCAUGUCGAAUUACUUGGUAACUUCGUUAUAAUGAGUUCCCAACCAAGACUUAUGACAUGGAAUUCGUUCACAUAGGGAAGAAAAACCAUUGCAGCAUCAGAGAGCAUGGAAAUACAGAGAUGAAUGAGGGAAAAGGUAAAUGAUUUGCAAAAGAAAUUGUAGGGACAGUUCACAGAAAAAAUGCAGCCUAAUUGUGGGACAGUUAUCAUGUAAACACCUAAACAGAAGCCUAAUAAAAAGCAGCAUUACGUGCAGCCCCUAUAAUCACAGGGUUUCAUAAUAUAUGGUUGUCGUUUUAUUUUUUUGGUGGAAGACUAGCCAUUUGGAAAUUUUUUGGCUGCUAAAUGGCAGUAGAUGUCAAAUACAGCCCAUUACCUUUUGAUAAAUAAAUCCACAUUAAAGAACUUCACAAAAACCAAGAUUAGAGCAUACAGAAAGUGCAGAUGCAGCACUGCCAGUAAGAAGUUGCCGUGCUCGCUCAAUAACUGAACCCAAGACCUCUGGAGUUGGUAGAUCUCUUGACCUAGAAGGAGCGGCAUCAGACCUCUGUGGAUGCUGAACAUUGGUAGCAGCAGAAGAGUGAUAACCUUCAAACACAAAAAUACAUUUAAACAUGGUUAAAAGAAUAUGAAAAAUACCUUUUAACACUAAAUACAUAAAAGUGUGACAUUACCAUAGUUCUGCAAUGCUAGGUCCAUGCGAUUGAUGAACUCCAAAAGGGUAGCCAAGGAAUCAGGAAUAACCUGAACAAAGAACAUAUAAAUCAAAUGCCCAAAAAAAUUAACAAAAAGAUAAGAAGAAACAGUCUACCGUAUGACGAGAUAAUGCUGCCGGGAGAAGAGGUGAUAUUUGAAGUUGGUGAUUGAGAAUUGCAAAUCCUGGCUGCACAGGAUUUCCAGGUUGAGUUCUACUACCAGCAUUCUGUGGCCCUUCGGUUUCACCAUUUGGUGGGACCUACAUGAAAGCAAGGAUCAAAUAUCGUUAAAGCUACGUGAAAACUAGUUUGGGACGACUAUAGCUUCUGGAUAAUUGCCAUUUUAGUAAUGUUGUUCAUAGAAAGCAAAACAUUUAGUAAUACGAUCCAAUUCCAUACCUAGGGAUGUCAAUAGGUAUGGAUACCCAAAAUUUUAUCCGAAUCCGAGCCCGAACCCGAACGGAGCGAAUUUAUCUGAUGCUAAAUGGAUAUGGCUUUAGAUAUGGAUAUCAAAAACAAAAACCCGACGAAUAUGAAUACAGAUAUGGAUUUUGACUUUACCCAACCCGAACCCAGACUCGACCCAAACCCAACACGAACCCAAAUUUAUUUUACAUUAUAUAUAAUAUGUAUAUAAAAAUUUGAUAUUAUAUUGAAUUUGUGUUUUAAAAAUUUAGAUUUAAUGUAAUAUAUUUUGAAAUAUUGAAAAGAGAAAUAAUUGUUUCAGGUUCAGAUUUUUGGGUUCGGGUUUCAGAUUUUUGGUCGGGUUCGGAUUUAGAUAUGGAUCUUUAAAAUCCGUCGGGUCGGGUUCGGGUUCGGGUUCGGGUUUCGGGUUUGGAGUCAGGUUUGGAUUCGGGUUUUUGAAAAUCCGCCCCGAAUCCGACCUAUUGACAUCCCUAUCCAUACCGACAAACUAAGAAAAAUAAAAAAAGCAAAGAAAAACCAGCUUCCUGCCAUAGCAGGAGUAAAGAAUAAGGUUCAAAAUGCUUCCAAUGGGACAGUAAAAUUAGGGCUUGAAAUACCAUUUCAGCGUUCUGCCAUAGCAAAUAGCUCUAUACAUUUUAUUGGCCAAAUGCAUGGUAGCUGCUUUCUGGAGUAGACAAAGUACUCUAGAAACUAGGCCAAAGAGGGACAAAGUCUCCAAUAAUAAGUUGCAGCUAAAGAAAAUGGUAUUUACCGAAGUAGAUGAAGUGCUGCUAACUCCUCCAGCAGGAGCAAGAAUCCCAAGCCCCAAAGAACGCAGAAGUUCCCCAAUACCCUGAAACAAAAGUGUAAAUUUUUUAAACCCCCCAAAGAGAAAAAGAUAUAACUCAUAGGCCAAGUAAAAUAGAAUACUGCAGUCUGACAAAUUUCCACCAACUAAGAUUUAAUUAUAGAAAGCGCACCCUAGCAAUAUCAGCUCCCAUCCCUUCGCCCUGGUCAGCAAUAUUUACAGUCCCAACAACGACACUAUGCGAAACUUGUCCCGUCCUGUUCUGCUGUGCAUUUCCAAUCGUUUCAUUUCCUACAAAUAGAUGCACAAAAUGCAAGAUAGUCCUGCUGAAAUACACACUUGUAUAGAUAUGUUACACACGUACACACACAUAUACAUACACACGUGCUUUAUAUAUAUUAUGCUUUUAUUGCUCAAUUUCAUGCAAUGAUGACUUUUCAAUACUGAUUACAAGGUUUUGAUCUUUUUAUGCACAAGACCGGACAAAUCAAAUUAUCAGAAAAGUUUGAUUAGUCACGAUCAGUCCCAGAAAUACAACAAAGGGUAAAGGGACUUAAAACAAUAAAUUCAACAAACUAAGAUCCAGUUCAUCAAACCCACAUAUUCAACUAAAGAAAAGGUGUCAGCACGAUGCCAAGCAUCAUUGCAUUUGUCACUGAAGAAGCUCGACAACAUCAAGGCUUUAAGAUAACAUAGGGCACCAAUAAAUACCACCUAGCAAGGGAUUACACAUCAUGCAUAAUCAUCCUUAAAUCAACCAUGUGUUGCAUGAACCACCAAGCUAGUAGCAUUCACACAUGUAGUGUUGAAAUAGCUUAGUGGCAAGAAAUGUUGUUAAUGACCAAAAUAUUUGCUGCAGAAAGAAGGAUGUGAUAGAAAAAAGAAAAAAACAUUGAUUCAAAAAUCUUACAAAGAAAAUGUUAGAAGAACAAAAUGGAAAUGACUGGUAGAAAGUACCAAUCACACAAGCAUCUCAUGCUUCUGUUUUCUCAGUAUUCACUACCGGCAUUGUCACUCACUCAAAACCUUAAUACACAAAAGAUUUAAGUUAAAAACUAUAUCAUUAACGAAAGAAACGAAUAGAUACAUUUAUAUCAAUCAAUAAUUGUAGAGACUUUUGUAAAACUGUCCAAAAAUACCCGAUAUCCCAUACCCGACGACAAGCCUACCUGGACCCAAACCAGACCCGAUAAAAAAUGGAUAGUAUGCCAGUAAAAAAAAUUACCUAUUAAAGUUUUGGGCAUGGGUCCGGAUACUUUAUACCCAUAACCAACUUGGACCCGACCCAAAACCAACCUUUUAAUGGGUAGGGUCCGGAAGAGUUUUCAAAUCCGGACCUGUACCCAGACCUCGACCGGGACCAGGACCCGGACCCGGUGAAAUGCCCAAUAGUAAAUAAAAAAGAUUUGAAGUUGAGGGAUCAACUUCAAUACGACUUACAUAUGAAGGGUCUUUGUGUAUUUGCAUCCUAGUGAAACCCCAGUUGCUCUGUUUACUCCUUUUUUAUUUUUUUAUUUUAAUCAUUUUUUAAACCCUAGCUGCUCUGUUUACAGCUAGAAUCUUUCUUUUGAACGAAUUUUACUGGACCGGGUGCAACUCAUUAGAACGCAAGUUUUCUAUAGUGAGAAGUUUAUAGUUUGCCCAUAGGGUUAGGGCUACUAUAUUUUUAUGAGUAUAGACCUCUUUGUACUUAAGUUUUCAGCCGUUGGAUGAAAAGAUGUGCAGUUAGGAUAAUAGUGAUCCCCGGUUAGGGUGAUAGUGAUCCCCUAGGGUUGAGUGGGUGGUUGGUUGAAUAGUAUAAUCUAACGGGUGGAAAUAAUCAAAGGGUAGAUCUAAUGGCCGAAAACUUGAGUACAAAGGACUCUAUACUUAUAAGAAUAUAGUAGCCGGACUUUUGUCCAUAGAUUGUUUAAUAAAGUCUAUAAAUAUAUAUGCAUACGGGUACCUAUACCCGAUCUAGACCCGACCCAUACCGAACUUAAGCAGUUAGUAUAGAGUCACUACCCAGACCCGCUCAAAUAGACCCGGUGGGUAUAUUAUUAACUAAAGUACUCAGACCGAUCUGACCCAAAGUUAAAUAGGUAGGGUAUAUAUAUUUUUCUACCUUUCUUUUUAGGAUAGGGGUACAGUAUAUCAACUACCUAGACCCAACACGGUCCAUGGACAUUUUUAGUCUUUUGCAUUGAUGAAUGAAACAAUUAAGAAGAUAUAGCACUUUAACAAGUCAAAAUGUAGUUUGUUAAAGAUGUGUGUCCUCCUGUAUGAUAUUGCCCUCUGACCGCAAGCACUAGCAUAUCAAGAAAAAAGGUAGCUCUGUGAACUGUGAACAUGCUAUCUGACAUAGGUCAGCAAGCAUUUACACUAACAGCACAUAAUUUGAAUUUCUCUCCUACUGGCAAAGAGAGAAAUGAAAAACAUUGGCCAACCUAAAUAACAUGACCAAAUCAAAUUAAAUCAAAAUACUUAUCAGGAAAGUGCUAAUGAAAGCUCUGCAAUUUAAUGCCCAAAUUGCUAGUGAUCCUGGCAAUAAUGACAAGGCACAACAACUAGCCAACGACCAAUCAUGAAGAGUUAUUAAACUUCACUUGAGUCAAAAAACCGAAUAAAAAAAAAAUUUACCAUUAUUACGACUGCUAUCUUCUGAAGCUGCCCCUGGUUCAGUAGGACGUUGUGGUUGAGCUGGUUGUCUAGCAACCAAAUGCAGUGUAUGCCCAUCUUCCACAUCUAUACUUUGUCAAGGUUACCAAAUAUACAAGCUUAACAAAAGAAAAAAUUGUAUCUCCUCACAUUAUAAGAUCCAGAAUAAACGACAUGUAUGAGAAGAACAGGUAAUAUUAUCCUGUGCCAAGAAAUAGUAAUUUUGUUAAAUACACCCAGCAACAUCAAGAUAUCCAAAAAAAACAGUAACGAAAAAAUAGCACUGUCAAAACUAAUAUCUUAAGUAUUACAAAAAAAAGCAGAAGGAUAGCACCCAGCUGUUUUUAUGGAUAUGAUCAAACAAAAGAGAGAACACAAUCUAAGGAAUAGUAUGCAGCUGUUGACAAUGGAAACUGUUUUCACCAAGAGCAUAAUGAAGUGGAAGUGGUGAUACAAAAUAAAGGUUAUUAGAGAAGAUAUAUGCACAACAAGAACAUUUCAGCUAGAAACAUCAACCUGUAUAUUUUGUUCUACUGACGCUCGGAAUUUUUGAGUUUUACUUUUAACUGAAAUUCUAUGAGGUUAAAUGUGUCAACAGAUGGAUGAAUGCCUAAUUGUUUGAAAUCUGUAUGAUAAUACAGUUUGUUCGGCAACCAAAACCAGUGUUUUAAAUAGCGGCCACUAUGCCUGCCAUAGCGGCCGCUAUAGCGGAUUUUAUGUGCUACCACUACACCAUAAUCUCUAAAGCGAAAUUGAGCGGAUCGGGUUCAUAGCAGCCGCUUUAGUGGCAUAGGGCUUGCUAAAGCGGUCGCUAUAAAGCAGUCGGAAAGCGGGCACUAUGAGCCCAAAACUUAAAAGUGCAAACGGGUUAAAACAUCCAACCGGGGCAGGUUCUCAAGUAAAAUAAAAGCUCAAAUCCUGUUUCUAAGGGUUUGAAAGUUAAAGAGGCAAUCCAUUUUUUAAUAGAGAAUAAGAUUUUAAUCAUCUACCUAAGAUAUCCUUUUUGACAUCCAUUUACAAAUUGUUUAGAUUGUUAACGGAUCAUAGAUAUCCUUUUUGAGUUUAUGUCUUUUUGGUUUGCUAAAUCGUAAUAUUUUAAAGUUAAUCAUAAGAGAUAAUGACAUUAAAUAUGUAUAAUCUUGCAAUACUAAAAAAAAUGAAAUGAUUAAUUGUCUUUUCUUCAAAAUUAUAUGUAUUUUUAUAAGGAACAUAAACAUAUUAAGUUUGUUUUCAUGAAACCCGCUAUGGGUUCAUAGCGCCCGCUAUGGUGCUUACUAUCCGCUUUUCGCGCUGAGACCCUCCAAACGCUAUGUGCCCGCUAUCCACUAUUUACAACCUUGACCAAAACAGAUAAACAUAGUAGAAACUAAUUUUCACUUCUUUUAAAAAAGUGAUUAGUUUGCAAACUAACUAUCAAAGAAGUUUAUCAGCCAAAACAUUCAAUUACAUAAGAGUUUUGGGUUUUUUAAAAACAAAAAAUUGGAUAAGUUUAGCCAAAUGAAGCCUGAAAUUGGAAUAUUGGAUUAAUUUGGCCCUAUUUUAACUUCAUCCUCAUUUUGACCUGGAUUUUAAUUUCACCUGGGUUAGUUUGAACUGAAUUUUAAUUUCAUCCUCAUUUUUCAAUUGCAACACUUUAGUCCUAGUAGUUUGUUCAGCAUAAUAAUUAAGCCCUUCUUUUCAAUCAACCAUCCAACACUACCAUUAUUAGACUUUUCUUUGUUAAAACAUAUGGACGAAAUUGACAUGGUUAAAAUGUAGGGACCAAUAAAAGUUGACGUCAAACUUGAAGGUUAAAUAUGAAACUUUGAUAAUGAUGUAGAAAUUAGGCUCAAAUUUCCGAUAAUAAAUUGUUAUAAUUGAAACUCUAAAGACAAAUUAAACCCAGCUCAACUUUAGGUUCAAAUUUAUAAUUAGAACUUAAAUCUUAUAAAAUAAGAAAAAAUAAAUACUAAACUAAAAUGAAGAGUACAAGUCAAUUUUCUAACAUAAGAAACAAACUGAGUAAAAUGAGGACUAAUGAGUACAAGAACUAAAUAGAUGUAAAUAUCUAAAAAGGCUAAUUAAAAAUAUAUAUGAUAUGUAUCUCAAAAGUUAGACAUGAAAAAGAAGUACAUAAAGAAAAUGGAUACGAUAUUCCGAUAAGAGGUGAUCAUCCUUCAGAACUUUUCCUCUAAAUAUCAGCCGCUGCUGGUCCAUUGGAACACCAGUCACACCUACAAUCUUCUCCUUCAAAGCAGGUAUCGGCAACUACAAUAGAUGUACAAUCAGGUGAAUUAGCAUGAAUGAGCCAAAUCUACAAACAAGCAGUGUUGCAAAGAAAAGAUGUGAAAGAUAAAGACAUUUCAGGAAUGCAGAGAUUCUAGGAUUCAGCGAAAAAGGUGUUCUGUAUUCAUCAGAAAAGCUACUUCGGUUUCGUUUCUAAACGUUAUAGAAACAAGGCAAUAUGAACAUGCUCUCAAGUUGUUAAUGAUCCCUAGGUUGCAUCAAGCUCAAGACAACCCUAACGACAAACACUCAGGGAAUGCAAUCAGCAUCUGGAACAGAGCCCAGUUGGACCUAUAGGAAAUUUCUCUCAUUCCCAUGUUCUCCGCUUAGGACAUUUGUGACUAGAGCCUCCAGCCUGAUUAGCAAGCAUAACCAAGCUAUUAAUCUACAGAUUGUUUGAUCUACAACCCCAAUGAGCCACAAAAAUGAAUGAUCUGUAACAGUGUAGAAGUUCGAAACAAAGGUGUUGAAUUAAAAAUAUCUCAUUAAAUUACAUAAUGUUAUCCCCAAUGCAAAGAGCAAAUUACUAUAUGCUACCGCUUACAGUAAGAAAAAUGCGAUCAAUUUAGAAAAGAAUAGCUAAAGAAUAGCUAAAGAAUAACCAAAAUAGAAAGCUAUGGAUACAGAAACAACGUCAAAGCUGUUAAUGUUCUGGUUCUACCUUGGAAUGUUUUCUAUCAUGCCAAUAUGUCAUGUUGGUAUCACAAAGAGAACAUUAUACUUGAGCAUACUAUCAAGCCGUUGCAUCCCAUAUUCGUAUGUCACAGAGUUUUUGCAUUAUGGCAUAGGCAGUGACAUGGCCUAAAAUUUACCACAAAGUCAUAUGCUGUUCAUUCUGAAGGUGAGCUGCAUAUGGACCAUAUAAUGAUAGUAAAUGUGGCAACAGUAUCAGGUUUUAUUUUCAAAUGUUGACUGAAACCUCUUAAAAUUAAGUAGUUUCAAUCUGACAAAGUAAACCUGAAUUUCCAAUAUAUUGAUGUAUUAGAAUUAUACUUUAUGCCACUUAUAUAUGAAAUAUUGUUAAGGUUCGUAUUAGUAUCCCCAAAACAGCCAAAAGAGAUCAAAAUAUGAUAGAAGGAACAAAAAUAACCAAUUAAUAUAUUGGAUUUGGUUCUAAAAGCUAGGAGGCCAAAGUAUUAUGUUGUUGGAUUAGUUUCAGGGGCUUGUUCUAGAUCAUAACCAACGAAAGCUGAAGUUUCAACUAACUAUUAUGUUGUUAGAUUAGUUUCAGGUCCUCGCUCAAGAUCCACGAAUGAAGAUAGAGUGAUUGGAUACUAGUUGGAGUUUCAGUCAAAACCAUAAUUAUUGGACCAGGCCUAGACAUUGACACAACUAGGCACCAGGUCACUAGGUCAUCGAUCCGAAUGGUGAGCAACUGUCCAGACCACAGGCUCGAAAAGCAAUAAAUAAAAUAUAUAAAAUGUGCUCAAAGUUACUCCAUGGAUGGAAAACUGCAUUAAAUUAAGUCUAAUCUACAUAUAUUAAAAGUAUUAUAGGGAUACUUCAUAGUCUUAAUUUAACAAAAACAAAUAAAGCUAAAAUAGUUCUUUGAAACUAAAAGAAACUCAUAACUUGUCAAAACUAUACGCACAUCAGUAACAUCUUCAACAUGAAAUGCUUAGCACUGUCAUUACUGUAUUCAACACAUUCUCAACUUUGUUAUAGGUUAAAAAACAAGAUAGCAUGUUUACAGCCUUAAAUUUCCAAAGUACAUGUAAGAAUAGAUCAGUUCCCUCUACUGAAGCAAUGGAAUCCAAAUGGCACAACAACCACAUCAUAAGUUUAAGCAAUAGGCAAAAAGGCAUAAUCAGGUGAAAUCAAUGUCAUUAUCCUUACUUGUCAUGUUUCGUAGCUAUUGCAUUCCAAAUGAAAAACCAAAGCUAAACCAAUAAGUUAGAUUGCCAGAACUUGUUAUGGCAUCAUCAGCAUAUUACAUAUAGCCUUUCUGCUUAUGCCUUCAAUGCUAAAAAACGCUAACAAUUAAUUUUUGUGACGCACAUCGCAAGCGAAAAGUAGAAAAAGGGAAAAAGAAGACAGCAUAGAUCUAAAUUUAUCAGAGUGCACUUUACAGCUAGAAAAGGAACAUUACAUCUUUGCGAACACGAAAUUUAUAAAUCUGAGAAUCAAGAGUUUUGACAUUGAUUUCGAUAGUUGAGUCUGAUCCAUCACCGACUUCUUGCAUUGAACUGCUACCGUCUUUGAAAGCUUCAUCAGCCAUCCUCUAGAGAAAUAAAGAAGGAUAAAUGAAAUAGGAAGAUGUCAAGACUUGCACUAAAUGACUCUGGAAUGUACAUGACGCUCUGCGUAGAAAUUAAAUCCCACCGGUGUUUGAAAAAGCCCAAAGCGCACCAAGGCACAAAGGGCUAUCGGAGCCCAGGUGCAAGGCCCAAGGUGCAUACGCACGCCUGAGCGAGCGAGGCACACAUGUCUCGAAAUAAACAAGAAAGUCUUUAAUAUAAUACACCCUCCAACAAUUGUUAAAUGGCACUAAAAACUCUUUAAGAUCAUAUUAUCAUAAUAAACAUUUCAUAAGCACUAAAAACUCUUUAAGGGCUCUUUUCAAAUUCAAAAAGGCUCUGUUUUAUGCAGACAGAAAUUGCUUUUAUCAGAGUAAAGCAUUGUAAAAGAAAACAAAAAAAACAAAAUUUACUUCAUCCUAUGCACAGUUGCACACAUAAUGUGUGUUGUGUGUGUGUGUGUGUGUGUGUGUGUGUGUGUGUGAGAGAGAGAGAGAGAGAGAGAGUUAAAAUAGUAACCUGUUUUACAUCUUCACUUUGGAAAAAAAGGAAAAACACACUUUUAAGAAAAAUAAUAAUAAUUACUCCAUCCUAUUCUCAGAUAACAUGCAAGAGAGGCUAAUCAGGUAAAAUAGGAUAUUGUUAUAUUAAAAAAUACAGAGAGAGUUUAAAUAUGAUAUAAUCCUAUUUUAUUUAAAAAAAAAAAAAAAAAAAAAAAAAAAAAGUGGAUAAGUGUUUUAUACACAAAUAAAUUAAAAUGUUGUUGAUUUUCUCCCAUUCUGUUCCACAUAAUAUGCAGGUAAACAGAUUCGUAGCUGUUAGAUCUUAAACGAAGGGGCAUAAGAAUACUCAAAAGUAUGCCUUUCUCAUUUUCUUCUUCAUUGCGCUUCGUUGCUACUGUGAAGAAGAUAAGGAGGGAAGGGGGAAGAGAGAGAUGAACACCUCUGAGGCCAAUCCGCAGGGAGUAAGCGGCUGUGGAGCGGAUCUAUUUAGGCAAGCGAGAGGUAGAAGCCCGCCAGCGGGAGUAGCGGAGCUGCAGAGGUGACGGGGCAGGGAAGGAGCGGAGGCGAACGAGAAAGAGAGAGAGAGAGAGAGAGAGAGAAAGGGCGAAAGAGGACGAGAGAAAGGGCGACGAAGGUUUUUUUCUUUUUUUUUUUGUGUUAAUUAGGGUUUGUUUUUUAAUAUUUAUAUUAAAUACGUUGGACCCAAAAACUGCGUUGGGUUUGGUUUGCUUUGGUUUGGUUCAGAUAUAAAUAAAAAUUAUUUAUUAUAAAAAUAAAUAAAUAUUUAUAUAUAAAUAGAAAUUAGACUAAUUUUAUAUUUAAAUAAAAAUUAGAUUGUUUUUAAAAAUAAGGUAAUAGUGUUUGGAUAGUUAGAUUGGAAUAAGGGGUAUAAGAGUUAUAAUUUUAAAUUAAAAAUAUUUUAUCUAAUUAAUUAAUAUCUAAAUAUUAAUUAAAAAUAAUUUAAUACAUUAAUAAAUUAUGCAUAAAUAUGUUAAAUUAUUAAUUUUUUAAUUAUCUAAUUAAUUCUAAAAUAAAUAAUUGAUUAAUUACUUUAUUAUUUAAACAAUAGAUAAUAAUUUAAAUAUAUUAAGUAAAUUAAUUAAUAAUUUAAUAUAAUAAUUAAAAUUAAAUUUAGACUUUAAUUAAACUUGCUCCUGCUUGCGAACAAGCUUGUUCCACGAAAAGGGUGGAACAAUAGUUCUAGCCUUAUACCGGCUUGUUCUAGAAAAAGGAGAACAACUAUUCCAAUCCCUAAUUUCAUGUUUGGGAAACAAGGGAAGAUAAUCCCUUAUUCCACCUCUUGUUCUCCAACCAAACGAGGCCAAAAAGUAUUCAUACCUACUGUUCAUUUUAUGAGAAGCUUCCAACACAAAAAAAAGAUUAUAAUAAACUGUAAUGUGCGCGAUAAAAUCAAUGCAUGGAUGGCGAAAAGAUGAUACAUGAAAUUGAGAAAAAAAAAUAUGGAAAACGAUAAUCUGGCAAGUCGUAUAGUCAACUUGUAAAAAGAAUUUGGUGGUACAGGGGUAUUACUUCUUGGACGGUUUCUGUCACGCCCUGGAUUUCAGCGGAAGCUUACAAGUCGCGUGCACAGACCCGCCGUGUACACCACAACUCAAGUAUACACCAGGCGUCUACAAAUAGUAUAGUAAAAGAAUUCGAUUCUAAUCAGGUAAUCAAAGCAAAACUUAAAAGUUUAAACUUAUACCAUCCAAGACCUUAUUACAGUAAAUAAGAACAAAAUCCAAUUUACAUGAUCUUAAUAUACAUCACUGAACUAAUCUACAUAAACGGGUAAAGAUCGUCUAUUUAACGUCAAGAAGGCUCUAGCUAGCCGCUGAUCCCUCGCCAGGAACCCUAGCAUUUCCCGCUGUGGGAGGCUCUAUAAAAACAACAACAAAGAGGAUAUGAGAACUAUUAAACAAUAGUUUCCAGUGGGUAAGCCACCGAGAGUGGCGAAGUACACCACUAGGUCAACUGUGGCAUGAGUAAAUAGCAAUAAAGAAGCAACUAAAUGCAACAGGUAUGAAAGUAAACUACUCAUGCUAUUUGCUCAACAAUAAAUAAAUAUCAACAAGCUGCAGGUAUUAGUUAUCAUGAUAGAUUCUAUCAUUCAUAUUAAUUGACAAUUAACUAGGCAUAUACCAGAUUGUAUGCAUGAUAAUUCGUCUUACUGAAAUCACUGAUAAUAUCAUGUAAUUACCUUCGAUAUUAGCAAAAAUGAAACAUAUUGUCAUUUUGUUACUAACCAAUCACGAUGUCAACUUUAAAUGUCAACUUACUUUAAAUGCAGGUAUUGUCAUUACCAAGCUUACUUUAAAUGUCAACUUCCUAGCUUGUUCAUCAAUAAGUUAACUUGACCAAAGACAUAAAGUAACUUUACUACUAUGUCUAACUAAGGUUAAAGUACUUAUCAUAAUUCAAUUUCCAACAGACUUACACAAGGUAAUUUCAAAGCCGCGCCGUGCCUAAUGGCCCCGUGGUAGUAUACACUCUCCACGGCAUUCCACUUCGGCGCUCACUUCGUACAUAAGCGAGCAUCUGUCGCUAAGCUACUACGGAGUGCUGGCUUGGGGGGGGCGACCCCCGCAAGCGUGUGCGAAAGAGCGUAAUGGCAUGCAAGCUGUAAUCCAUGGCACAAAUAUCUCAACAGCAUCAUGUCUUUGACAUGGAAUCUCAACUCGACCCAAGGUCGACACUGUAGUGCCCAAUCAUAAGUCACUAUCAACACUUGUUGACAUGAUUCUACCAAUGGCGAGUAUAACUUGACAAGUCUAAGCUUUACAUCAUACUAGUGAUUCUAUCAAGCUAUACCUGGUCAGUCACUCAAAAUCUCUCACUACUCCUUACACAUAAGGAAAGUGGUUUACUAAUGUCCUAUUCAAGGACUCAUGGCAUAUAUCCUGUAGUCCAAUGUAAACCUCCACUACUUGGGGUAAUUACAUACUAUGCAAUUACUAGUUAUUUACUAGAUUAUAUUCAGUUGUAUAUCAUUCAAAAUAUACCAUCAUACUAAAUUCUAGUUACUUACUAGAACAUAUACCAUAAUCUGAAUUUAUCAUGUGAAAGUAGAAACUAACUGGGUAAAGUAAGCAGAUAAUAGAAGCGAUAGAAUAUUCUUCACAUGAUCUUUAUACCAUUCAUUCUAUAGUUAUGAAUGUAUACUCAAGCAAAUGCGUCUACAUGAUAUAUUCAAAGUUUAGCCAAUAUACUUGCCACAUAAAAAUUGCAUAGUUGAUUUUAAGUACAUCAUUCCCUUUGCUGUUCAACUGAACUAAGUGGUACAUUCACGAAUCUACCAUUAUAUCCUCUUGGAUAACAUCAAGUUAAAUUGUAUAUGCAAGCUACUAGGAUCAUGAAUACAUAGUACUUUAACAUGUGACCAUGUAGAGUGGACAAGUCAUGAAUCUUCCGUUACUGUUUAAAGAUGCUAUCAUAUCCAAUCUGAUCUACACAUUAAUGCAUGUCUCAAUGCCUUGAACUAUACAUAUAUUCACAUGAAUAUGUAGUAACUUCGACUCAGAUGUCAAAGAAGACAUAGAGGGAAAUUCACCCAUUUCGGGAAGGUCCGACCCACCGAUAAACGACGCCUUUGUCGAGUUCACGUUGAUAAGCGAUCCGGUUAUUCAAGCUUCUUAGGUUUAUACUUCUCUUCAGGUAAAGACUCCCAACGCUCAGCUUUAACCAGCUCAAAUGCGUCCAGGAAUUCAGCCCAACGACAUUUCAAUCCUGCUGAAAAUUAAGUCUCAAAACCGCAUUGAAACUAUGGCUAAAAGUCUAAUUUCGACAAAAUUCUCAAUUGUACUAAGUUGUAGCUUAAUUCCCUGCUUUGAUUCAGUUUAAUACCUCAAGUUUAGCUUCCAAAAGCUCUCACAUAUCAGCCGGAGAUAAUUUGAAAGUCAAUCGCAACCUUGCUGCGAACAAUCACCAAAACGACGUCAAAACACUUAUAUCCUUAAAUAGUAUCGUCGGAAUCUCACUUAAUCUGAUUUCUAACUGAAAUUUCUGCUUACCGUUAGUUGAAACGCCUUCCAAACCAGUCCCGAAGGUCACAAACUCAGCUUAAUUUAAUUUGGAAACCUGCUGUGAACAAACUUCCCAAACUGUAUUAAGUUACACGAUUAAACAUCGUAUAGGUCCGAAAUCGAGUCAAUAGUUAACUAGUUACCUUGGCUAAGCCUCAAGCCAGCUUUUCCCUGGUUUAAACAGAGGAAUAACAACCACAUAACUCCUCUUUAGCUGCUGGAAUUCCCCUCCAACCCACUUGGGAGCAACAAAACCAAAACUACUCAAAAUCCAAUACUAAAAUUUGAAUUAAAGAAAUCUUAAAUAAUAUACCUAUCAAAAGCUGCAACUCAGCUCCCUCUGGUGAUAGGACCACAGAAAAUCCAUAAAAAUCCUUCCCCCCACGUUCCAAGGACUUCCUUGAGUCUCCGAACCAGCGAGCAACGAACGCGGCGCAAAAUCGGUGCAAAACGAUAACUUCUAUGUAGAGGGAGAAAAAUCUAGAGAGAAAAAGGAGAGAAGAGCUUCAACCCUGCUUUGCUGAACUCAAACAAGCUUAUCCAAGUUAUAGGGGUCGAGCUGGGCGCAAGGGAUAAGAACAGAAAGCAAAAAGACCAAAAAAACCCUGCUGCCACGCACCUGCUGCUGCUGCUGCUUGCUGUACCGGUACAGCAUAAUGCCUGUACCGGUACACAAUGCAAAAAUCGCCCAAUUCGCAGGAGUAAUGCACUUUCUUGUCUCCGACAAUCCGAUCACUCUCAAACUUGGCCAAAAACUUGUCCAAGCCUUUUAGAAGAUGUAGGGUAGUUCUACUUAUCAUUCCCCACAUUCGAGCUUCGCAAUAGAUCAAAUUCAGAGCAUUGCAAUUGAUAAUGCAUUUGCAAUGCACUUUUCCAAUUCCAGUUACUAUCUUACUUCAGUAACUUGCCAAAACCUUUCAACAGUCUUUCAAGAAUCGUAGACUAGUCCCAAAAGCCAAUCCAACCCUCGAACUUGCCAAUAGGCCCAAGAUUCAGUAUAUUACAGUUUCAGGAAGUAAAAGCUAACAAUUUUCGUACUAGGUGUUGCACGAAGCCACUAAAUUUAGUUUUGAUUUAAAAAGAGAAAUGGAUCUUACUUUGGCAUGUCUUGUAUGAGAGUUGCUACAUUUUGGUUGGAGAUUUUGGCCAGGAAGUCUUAUCUAAAAAUUUAAUUCUAAAAUUAGACUUCUUAAACUUUAACGCUUGCAUGAGCCAUGUGGGUGUCACGGUGGAGUGGGUAGAAAGAAAAGUGGUGAACUAUUCACUGCUUACUUAAAGUGGGGAAUCAUUCACCAAUUUUAAGAGAGCCUCGCAGCUCUCUUCAAAGCAGCAAAUGGUUCACUUCUUUUAGAAGCGGCAACCUAUUAACCGCUUUACUUUUAACCAACUUCAGUACAAAUACAAGUAAAUGCAAGUAGGAAAACGGUAAAUGAUCACUGCAUUUAUAUGUGGUUAAUCCGUCGAAGGAGAAAAUAAUAUUGUAGCGUCUUUCCAAUGGUACCUAAAACCAUAUUAAAAAGAAACACACAAGGAAUACUACGUUUUAGGUGAAAAAAUUUGCUCUCUAAUUUGUAAUAUACCGAAAAUUCGGAAAAUAAAGAUGUCGAACUUUAGUCAAAUUGACCAAAGUGCGAGGAUGGAACACUUCGGAGAGUCCGAAGGUGUUAAGAUGAUUAAAAGUGAGUUGUGGAAGGUUUUCGAGAGCUAAAGAAUUGAAUUCUGCAAAACUGCAGAUUUUCAGCUCUCGGGGACCGGUCCCUGAAGGGAGAGACCGGUCCCCGAACGCGUGCAGAAUGAGACAGCCGAAAAAUCGGCUAAGUCCUGGAAGAUCAGCUCUCGGGAACCGGUCUCUGUCUGAGAGACCGGUCCCCCAGAGACCGGUCCCACAAGGAGAGACCGGUUGCACUGCGCGCAGCAGCUCUGGCUGCGCAGGGUGGACGUUCGGGAACCGGUCCCUGCUCGGGGAGACCGGUCUCUGCCUGCGCGAACUGCCCAGUUCGGGCAGUGUAUUAAAGUGAAAGUUGAGGGGUUUAUUUGCAUUUUGGCAACCCAUUGAGUAUAGUAUUGGGGUAAAUGAGAUUUUCUCUCAUUUUCACCCCUCUCACACUCUCUUCUCUCCCUCUCUCUCUCUAGAAGACAAAAGAGAAGAAGAAGAAAGGAAGAAAAGAAGGAAAAGAAGAGGAAGAAAGUGGAGAAGAAGAAGAAGAAGUGAAGAAACUCCUUCUCCUUCAUCUCUAGCUUGAAGAAAGGGAAGCUUAUAAGGUAAGCUUCAAACCCUAAUGUAGUAAAACCCUAGAAAUGGGUUUGAAUGAACCUAAGGUUGGUUUUUAAUGGAAUAUAUAGUAGUUUUGAAGCUUUCUUUUGCUUCUAAAGAGAUCAAAACCUAGUUUUGAUACAUAGGUGAGCUUGGACCACCUCUAAUGGUGAAAUCCAAACUAGGGUUUUGGAAAGCCUAAGAAUGGUUCUAAUGGACUAAUUAGAGUAUAAUGAAGCUACUUUUGCUUCCCAAUGAGAUCAAACCCUAGGUUUUGAUAUACAUUGGAGCUAGGGCACCCAAAUUGGGGCUUUUGCUCAUAAGGGUUUCUAAGUGCAAUUGACCCUCUAAAAACCUAAUUGGGGAUAUUCCCGACGCGUUGGUGCGCUCGGAAAAGCGUUUCGAAAAGUCAAAGUAAAGUUAUGAGCAAAAUGGCCUAAUAAGGGUUCGUUUUGCCGCAGGUAAAGAACGAGAGGUCUAAAAAUCCCAAGAAAAUCCUCGGAGCACCUAAAUAGACCUACAAGGUGGGUGGUGCUUUCCAAACUCAUUGAAAUUCUCUCUAUGCCUAAUGUGUCAUUCCUUGAGCAUAUGUACUAUAUAUUGUUGCAUGCAUUUUAGGGUAAAGUAAUGAUGAACUGUGAUGAUUGCAUGAUUGUGAGCACAACUUGCAUGAUGAGAUGGUUGAGAACCUAAUAAUGUCAAAACCCUAGAUGUAUGCAUGAGAGGAAAUGUGAGCACCCAAAGUGAGCAAAAGAACAGAGUGGCACAAUGACAUAGACCGAGUGGCAUUUGAAAAUGUGAAGUAAAGAGACACUAGAGUUAGUGUGAUGCAAAGAUACAAGGUAAUGUAAAGAAUGAUGAAAAUGACAAUGUCUAAAGUUAAAGUAAUGUGGGGAAUAAAGAAUAUAAUGGCUAGAGUUAGCAAAAGUAAAAGAAACGUAAAGAAUGUGAUUGCAUGAGUUUGCAACAUAAAGUGAUGUAAAGAACACUAGAGCUAGUGUAAAGUCAAGAUUGAACUUAUAAAUCCUUUGAGUUAAGGAUUCGAUCAUACUUGCUAUGAGUUCCGUGCUCGAGGGCGGUCGCUCCCCCUCGGGCGAUGCGCUCCGGAGUUAUGCAUCCGGGUUGGAGUAGACCCGAAAGGACGGUCCUAGCUGGUGAGUUCCUGCGAUGAUGGACUUAAUGUGAAGCAAGUUAAUGUGGCGAAACCCCCGGGUUAGCCUUGAGAUUAAAGAACAAAGAGCAAGGAACAAAGUACAAAGAACAAGAACAAAGAGUAAUGUGAAAAGAAUAAAGAAUUUGCAUAAUCUGCAUAUAUUUAAUGUUGAGCAUAUUUCUUGCUAUUUGUUCAGGCAUAUUAGCAUCAUGUUAUAGAACGGUUACUAUCUUACUUAUCUUUCUAUUAUGCCUGAGUUAGUCCUAGUGGGAAAGUCGGUGAUGUUGGGGCCGAACCCACUGGGAACUUUGUUGUAGUUCUCACCCCACUAUUUCCACAGAGCCGGGACCGAGCGAGCCGACGAGCGACCGCGGUAAAGGUAUCGCGCCUUAGACAGAGGCCACCAAUGUCGGAUUUCAUUUUGUAGUAAAGUACCUUAUGAUCAUCUUUUGUAUUUGAUGAUUAGUAGUGUAAAGAAAGGAAUGUAAAGCUUAUUUUGAGGAAAAUGUGAUGUAAGAAAGAAAUGAUGAAAUUUUGUAUUGGAAUGCAAAGAAUUCAAAAUUACUAGAUGAAUGCAAUGUAUAUGAUCCAAAAUGAAUCAUGUUACUUGUGAGUGUUUAGUUUCCUUUUUCUUUCACUAAUGGCUGUUGCUUACCCUCGAGUAAGCCGUUUGUGUAUGUUUCCGCUAGUGCACUUCUUAUUGAAAAUGUACAUGUGAUGAGCCUUGGGCGGAUAGGGGAAACUCUGUCCGUUCGGCGUCUGUUUGACGUGCUCGGGUCGGGCCAAAUUGGCAUCGGUCCCGGGGCGUGACAUUUCAUACCUAUCCACACCACUNUGAAAUGUAAGAAAUUCGAAAAUGAACCGGAUGAAUGUAUGUAUAUGAUAAAAAAUGAAUCAUAGCACAAGUGAAUGUUUAGUUUCCUUGUUCUUUCACUAAUGGCUAUUGCUUACCCUCGUGUAAGCCGUUUGUGUAUGUUUCCGCUAGUGCUUUUCUCUAUUGAUGAAAAUGUACAUGUGAUGAGCCUUGGGCGGAUAGGGGAAACUCUGUCCGUUCGGCGUCUGUUUGACGUGCUCGGGUCGGGCCGAAUUGGCAUCGGUCCCGGGGCGUGACACUAAUUAGAGUGUCUUUACAAUUAAAUUUGAUGAUUACAAAUAAUAAUAAAAUUUGGGCUAAUAUUUUAUUUUGAGUUUGUAUUUAGACCUCUUAUGUCACGCCCCGAGGCCGCCAAUUUGGUCGAUUCGGGCACGCCGAUAGACGCCGAACGGACAGCACCUCCCCUGUCCGCCCAAGGCUACAACAACAUGUAUAAUACAAACAAUUCAAUACAGGAUGAAUGCAAUUAUACAAGGUUUGCACGAGGACAAACAACAACUAAUUCACAUGUGAAAGCAUUGAAACUAACUAAACAUUUAUCCCCAUACAUGUUAUUUGAUUACAUUUGAAUCAAACACAAUAAACUAUUAUUUACAUUUAUUCUUUCCAUUCAUUUACAUCACAUUGUCCUUUAACCCAAAAUAAAAGGUUUACAUCAUUUCACAAUCUAGUUCAACAUACAAAAGUUGAAGCUAUUACAUAUAGGGUAUGCCUAUACUCCGAGGGCCGCUAUCUAUGGCGCGAUACCCUUGCCUCGAUCCUCUGCCGCCCCGCUCGCGCACUGAUCUGCAGGGUUAGUGGUGGUAUGAGAACUAAACAAAGUUCCCAGUGGGUUCGGCCGCCGACUGCGCCGAAUCGCCCACUAGGUCUAUUCAGGCAUAUGUAUUUCAAUAAGGAUAGAUAUUCAAACCAGCUAAUGUAACUAAUACAAUGCCUGCAAGAAAGUAGUCAGCAGAUAGAUAAUUCAUAAUCAUGAUAAUUAUGCAUGCAUGUUCUCGUCCUCAUUUUUUCUGGCUUUUACUCAAUUUUCCUCGGGUACUCUUGGUUCACCCCAAACGCACAAACCACAAUUCCCGUCUACCGGGGGAGGCUACUAGCACUACCAACCGAGGGAACGAUGACAGGGCCGCUCCCCGUGGUGUCUACACUCCGGAGUACACAACUUGAGGAGGAGCUACCUUCCUCAAGCCAAAAGUAAUGUGAGUACGAUUCAAUCCUCAAUUUGAGGAAGAAUUGCCAAACCCGUCUCAAUGCACAAAGCCUCGAUGCCUAUGAUAGGUUAUUAUCAUAUCACAUUUCCAUUAUACCUGAGCCAUAAUGGUCCUGAUGCCAUAAUAAGCUAAACCUUGUUUAGUCAUUUACAUUCUCGGUGCCAAUCUGGUCACUAAUGUUAAUGUCACCUUUGUUUACUAUUGUCGUAGUCUGUUCUUGCAUUCACUUACACAUAGGGUUCUUUCAUACAUAGUUCACGUGGUUCUUUAUCAUUUCACAUAUUCUUUAAGCAUCUAAAUGCAAUUCAACAAAGAACACAUAUCACACUACCCUAUAUGCCUGAAUGCUGACGCUAAUAUGCUCAAAGAAGGUAACAUAGACAUAGAGAGAAAUCCGGUGUUUCCGGACAGCACCCCCCACCUGUGGGUAUGCUAGGAUGCCGUGGUCCAGUUUUCGUGAUUUUUAGAGUUCUACGCCGCAAGUUGCGACGAUCUGUACCAAUUUAGCCCGUUUCUUCAAUUUCUCUGGCACGCUCGUCGCAUCGCCGAACCGAGCGCACCAACGCUUUCGUUGACCUACCAAUUAGGUUAAAAAGAGAUCAAUCCCAAGAUUAAACCUCAAAAUCUCAAAACCCUAACUUUAGGUCCUUGUACAAUAUCAUCUUCCCCAAUAUUGGUCCCUCACAUGAAUAACAUGGGGAAAAAUCCUCUAUACAUCUCCUAGAAGCAUGCUAGAAGGAAAACAAACCCAAACCUAGCUUAAAACCAAGAAAUCUCACCUUUUAGUUCAAGCUUUUCCUUGUAUACUUGCACAAUAGCAAGCAACACCUUCAACUUUGCCUUCUUCUUCACCCAAGCUCCUCCAAAGCUCUCCUUGUCCAAGCUCUAGAGAGAGAGGAAGAGAGAGGAGAAGGGUUUUUAGAGAGAGAGAGGAAGGGAUAUUUGUUGUGGGUGAGAAAUGAGCCCUAAUACAUAAGCCUCUCAUCUAUACACCCAUCUCAUGUGACAUUUGCACCUUAGCGUCUCAAUUUUCUAUUUUUCCAAUCAGCUCUCACUGGGCAUUUUUCGUAUACGGGUACCGGUCUCUCUCCACAGCGACCGGUCCCCGAGAGCACCACUCUCAAGACUUAGCCAAAUUUACACAUUUUUGGCUGGCUACGCGUACGGGGACCGGUCUCUCCUCCAGGGACAGGUUCCUGAGAGCACGAUUUCCAAAACUUAGCCGCUGGGCAAUUUUCCAACCUACGAGGACCGGUCUCUCCGCUCAGGGAUCGGUCCCCGAGAGCUAAAAUUUUGGGACUUAGCCAUUUUCCUAGAUUUCACUCUCCCAGGUCCCUUUACAUCAUACCAAGGUUCCAAAACACUUAGAACCCAUUCCAACUCGUUCCACUCCGCGCUCCGUUUGUUUCAACAGAACUCGGCAUGAUUUACGGGGAAGCGAUACGUUACAUUCCCCACCCCUUAAAAAUAGUUUUGUCCGCGAAACUCAACACGUACCUUAGUUCAUUUGCUCGAAUAAGUGAGGAUAGACCUCGCGCAUCUUCUCCUCAAGCUCCUACGUGGAUUCACGCCUUGAGUGAUUACUCCAUUGCACUUUUACAUACGGAGUAGUCCGAUUCCGCAGCUUCCGCUCCUCUCGAGCAAGAAUGCUCACCGGAAACUCUUCAUAAGUGACAUCCUCGUGCAACUCCACCGGCUCAUACUCCAACACAUGUGAGGAGUUUCGAAAAUACUUGCGGAGAUUCGAUACGUGAAACACGUUGUGCACUCCCGCAAGCUUUGGCGGUAAUGCUAACUUGUACGCCACCGGCCCAAUCCGCUCAAGGACCUCAUAAGGGCCAAUAUAUCGGGGACUAAGCUUCCCCCGAAUGCCGAACCACUUCACCCCGCGCAUUGGCGACACUUUGAGAAACACACGGUCGCCAACCGCAAAUUCCAAAUCCUUUCGGCGCUUGUUCGCAUAGCUUCGUUGCCGCGAUUGUGCCGUCAACAAUUGUUAGUGAGCAAGACGGACUUUCUCUUCUGCCGCUCGCAUCACAUCCGGACCAAGGGCGACUCUUUCACCCACCUCGCUCCAAUGGAUAGGAGAGCGACACUUACCCUCAAACGGUGCCAUCGCUAUACUUUCUUGAUAACUAUUAUUGUAAGCGAACUCCGCCAUCGGCAAAUACUCAUGCCACCCUCCACUGUAAUCGAGUACACACGCUCGCAACAUAUCCUCGAGUNCUUGAUAACUAUUAUUGUAAGCGAACUCCGCCAUCGGCAAAUACUCAUGCCACCCUCCACUGUAAUCGAGUACACACGCUCGCAACAUAUCCUCGAGUGUCACGCCCCAAUCCCCGCCAAUUUGGUCGGGUUCGGGUCGUGUCAACAGACGCCGAAUGGACAGAGCCUCCUCCGUCCGCUCAAGGCUCUAACAACAAGUAUAGAUAGGCAAUCAACAAGCGAAUUGCAUAUGUAAUACAAGGCUUGCAUGAGGGCAAGCAACAACGGAAGCGAAAGCUCUAAGCUAAAUAUACAACACACAUGAUAUUUGAUUAAAUUUAAACCAAAUACAAGUAAAUCUAUUACAUUCUUGCAUCAUAUCUUUUUACAUUUAGUCAUCCACCAAAUACAUGAUUGUUUACACUUAUCAUUCCUAAAUCAAUAGAAUAAAGUUGGUACAUGUAUAACAAAAGGGAAUGACUACAAAAUGUAUAAAGUCCCGGUGGCCGCUACCUACGGCGCCAAACCCUUGCCUCGGUCCUCCGCCGCCCCGCUCGUACUAGGACCUGUAGGGUUAGUGGUGUGAGAAACUAAACAAAGUUCCCAGUGGGCUCGGCAUCCGACCUCGCCGACUUACCCACUAGGUCCAUCCAGGCAUAAGUAUUUCAAAGGAGGAAAAGUAACCACUACUAAUGCGACUAAUACUAUGCCUGCAAGAAAGAAGUCAGUAGAUAUAUAUAAUUCAAUGCGAUAAUGGAAAUGCAUGCAUGCUCCAAUCAUAAUCAAGCUUUGGCUCUUACCCAAUCUUGCCGGUUAACUCUGUUAACCCUAAUAACUCACAACCCAAAAUCCCUUAAUAACGGGGGACUCGAACCUCCCUAGGGACCGUCAACUGGUGGGACUUUACCUCGCCCAGUGGUGACCAACUCCGGAGCGCACCGCUCGAGGGGGAGCGACUUCCCUCUAGCCAAGACGUAAUAUGAGUAUCGAUCUAAUCCCCAACUUGAGGAUUCAUAGCCACUGGUCACAAUGCCGAUGUCAUGAUAGGUCUCUACCUAUUCAUUCUUGUCACUCUCAAGGCCACACCCAUGAUGAUGCCAUAAUUUGGUUAAACUAUAUUUAACGGUUUAUCUCUCAAUGCCAAUCUUGUUUCUAUGUCAAUGUCACCCUUGUUUUCUAUUGUCCAAGUCCAACCUCACAUUCACACAACUUGAGGGUCCAAUCACACAUGUCCAUUUAGUCUAUCGUCAAUAUGUUCAACUAAGUAGAACAAUAAAUGAAGUCAAACCAAGUUCCACAUGUAUCUACCCUACUAUGCCUGAUGGUAAUAUAUACUAUAUAUAUAUAUAAUGACUCAAGAAAUAGAGAAACAGACAAUAAAGCGGAUCCAAUAAACGAUUCCGGUGCACCUCCCACCUCUAUUUGUGUGUGGGCGUUCAGUUUUUAAUUCGAAGGCUCCGCAACUUACGAAAGCCGAUUCGCCCCUAUAAUCAAAAAAUAGCGUCAUCAUAGGUCCCCUUGUCUAUGAGCUAUAACUCUAACAUUUUCGCUGAACUUAAACGAUUGCUAACGUGUUAAGACACCCGCCAAUCAGCAUACCAGAUUUUUAAUUAUAGUGAUAUAAAAUAAAAACUAGUGUGAGAUAACCUAUUUUAUUGGAUUUUAGACAAGUAGAUUAUAUUCGGCGAUUGACUCGUGUGAAAAUCGGAGUGAAAAAUAGAAUUGAGAAUUUUUCUUAGAUUAGACGGCUGAUAUUUAGCAGAAAAUGCCACAGUGUCAGAAAAUCCGAAAAUUUGAAAUAUUUAGGAUUAAUUUCUAUAGCUAGAUUUAAAGAUUUCAUGCAUUCUGACAGGCGUCAGGUGAAACUAAAACUCCGACGUUAAUUCUGAUAAAUAUACAGUUCGCUAAAGCUAUGCGAACCAAACGGGGUCAAACUGACAGAUAAAAUUUUCUUCAUUUAAGAUAAGGUAAAAACGAUCAUGACUGCCAAUUUGAGCUCAAUCGACCGUGUCUUAGGUAUACGAAAAUAUCUAGUACCGAGGCUACAAUCUGAUGGUGAUAGUGUUUGGGAAGUAUAAAAUGUGAACUUGCACUCUUUAUCUCAAUUUGUGCCCAAUGCCCGAGUAGAGACUUGGAGAGCAAAAUUUCUUUUCUCCUUUUCUCUCUUUCUCUUUAGUUCUCACACUCAUCCUUUAAUUCUUCUAACUCUCCACAAAAAAAUAUAUUGGAGAAGAAGUUUGGAGACGAAUCCUCGAAAGUUUGGAAGUAGCUUGGAGCAAUGCUUAUCACUCUGCCUCUCUAUAGAGAAGCUUUGGGAGUAAUCUUUGGUAAGUAACUAGUAGAUGGCUAAUGAGAAUGAUUCGUCAUGCUCUAGAAUGUUUAGAGAACUCCCUAGAUGCUAAUAAACAUGUUAAUUUCAUGAUCAAGUUCAAUUUUGUGAUCUCUUGGCAAUCAGUAGCAUGUUUUAAGCUCAAUUGAUUCUUAGCAAUAUUAGUAGAGUUUAUUCUAAAUUGCGCAUUAGUAUAAACCUAAUGCCUAAUUUUUCUGAAGCUUGGCGAAGUCUUCGACGAUAUCGAUCGAGGCUCACGCAAAUAUUGAAGAAAAGGCCGAUUUCGGUACAUGAUGCCGCAGCUCGCGACGUAACUUCCGAAAAAACACGAAACCCAGAAUUGUACAUCGUGACUCACCUAAAUCUUGGAGCUAUGAAUAGUCCAGGCAUGGCGAAGGGUCGUGUGUCUCUGUGGGUUGACCUCUCUAACAAAUGAGAAAAUCGUCAUUUAUGUGGCAUUUAAUUAAAUCGUAAAACGAAAAUCACGCAUUUUUCAUGAAAGAUGAUUAUUUGUCGAAUUUUAGAAAAUGCUUGAAAUGCUUAUUUAUAGUAAUCAUCAUUUUCGGAUCCAUCUAGUAAUAGAAGCUUGCAAGGAGCCUUUUAAGCAUGUGUUUAGCAUUAUAUGGCUUGGAAUCACUCUCUCAUAAUAGUAACAUGACAUAAUGUAAUAUGUCUUGACAUAAAAUCUCAUUGGACUCUGACAUCAUUAGGCCAUAAAGCGGCUUUGGGACUUGAAUAACUUGUGAGUUAGGAGCUAAUUCGUAAUCCGACAUCGGGCCUUGAAGCUUGAAUGAUCUAUCUACAAGUAAUUCAUAAAGAGCAUUAGACUUGAAUGAUAUGUAAUUGUAUUGUGCUAUUAAAUUAUUAGUAAUUAUGCUAAGUUGUAGUUGUAAGGUAGAGUUUAGCAUGUAGCAUUAUGAAAACUAUGCUAAGUUGAUAGUUGCUACGGACGCCUUUGAAACCAUAUGCUAGUGAUAAGAGCAUAUUAAUAUUUAUAUGCAUUGGGGAAUACAUGCUAGAUUAAUAUUAGCAAUAUGAAUCUGAUGCCUAGAGAGCUGCUUAUAAACUAUUUAUUAAGUAUAUCUUAAGCUAAUGUCAUAAGCGACAUUGAACUUGGACAUAGUAUGAACCUUAGUAAGCUAAUGUCAAUAAACGAUACCCUUGGGCUUGGAAUGGUGAUACUAAUGCCGUAAAGGGCAUUACGACUUGAAUACGUAUGGACUUAGUAAUGCUAAGGUCACAAUAGGACAUUGGAUAUCAUUGACAUGUAAACCUUCACUUGAGGGCAUAGACUAGACCUAUUGGGUUGCUAGUGAUAAUUCAUAUUUUCGACCAUGAGACCUUAUCUUCAACAGUCGUGUUCUCACGCCAGACAUGCCUUCGGUGGUCGCUCAUACCAGAACACUUCGAUUUUUUUUUUUUUGGGUCUCAUCGCAGAACAGCUCGUUGGUUCUCAUACCAGAACAGCCAUCGUGGUUCAUUACGCAGAGCAGCCUCGGUGGUCUCACCCAAGACAGCCUUCCCGGUGUCCUCAUACCAGGACGCUCUCGUGGGUCUGCUACAUCCCAGACAUCUUCGGUGGUCUUAUCAGAGUUGAACUUUUAAAAUAAAGCUGCCUAUGUGACAUUGACGUAGAACAUGUAAACAAUAAUGAUAAACACUAUUUGAUGGUAUCAUCGGUUCCGUCUGUUGACAUUCGGGAAUUGUGGUAAAAAAAACUCUAAUUAUCCUACGAAGUAUCCUUCGUAUUGUAUUACUUGUUCAUCACAGGCUUUUGUACCAGUGCGCAUAUCUGUUAUGCAUCGCAUAAUUGGAUUUCAUGAUAGAUAGAUGUACUCCAAACGUUCAUAUCAGUAUAUUGUGCAUAGUAGAAUAGAUUUCAUAUAUGCAUUAUAUUUCCGCAGUGUUAUUUCUUAUCUAUAUCUUGCUCUUGACUUGGGCCUAGUGGGUGCAUUUUGCUAGUCAGUAAAUUGCCGUACUGGGAACUAUAAAUUAAUAGUUCUCUUACGCCCUUUUUUAUGUUCUUUCAAAGCCUUUCACUCAGAGAGCUCAGAUACGCGGAAAGAACGCCUCGUGCUAGCUAGCGAGGAUUAUUGAUAGGUGUCCCACUCUCUUUUUGUUUCUUUUGUAAGGUUGAGAGAUUUGUACCAUUUGUAGAGACCGACCGACCCUUUUGUAACUUUGGAUGGAUAUCAUGUUAAAUUUAUGCUUUACUUUUAUUGUUAUUUGUUCUAUCUACUAUAGAUUAUAGAUUUAUAAUGCUGCUGAUAUUCCUAAUGUAGUUCUCAACUCUUAUCUUAUUCUUUCCGCUUGUUGGUAACGCUAUAUGUGUAGCAUAUCAUGCGGUCUGUGGCACCGCACCGGCAGUGCUCUCCGCGGGUCCCGGGCGUGACACCCAUUAGGCUUUCCAUCGGGUCAAUUGUCCCAAACUCUAGGCAAAAGCCCCAAAUUCAACCCUAAUAUUGUCAUUAGGGUUUUCCCAUGAAUCGAUUCGCAAACCUUAACAAACAUAGCUAGGAUCACCUAAAAAGCACUCUAGUAAGGUUUCUAGACCUUUGGUACCAACCCUAGGGCUCCAAACACCACUUCCAAGGAUUCACCAUGAGAGCACUUUGAGCUCUCAUGGGAACCAUGGUGUACAUGGCUCAAAAGAGCCUUUAAAGCCUCUAGGGAGCACAAAGCUCCCAUUUUCUAAGCCAAAAUCCAAACCCUAAGCUCAUUUCUACUAAAUACUCACCUUAGCCCAAGCUCCUCCAAGUCCUUCUUGUAGGAGAGCUUGUAGAACCCAUCAAAGCCUUCAAAUCUACCUUCCCUUACUUCUUCUUCUUCUUCUCCAAGCCCUAGAGCAAGAGUUCUAGAGAGAGAAAGAGAGGAAAUGUGAGAGAAGGGUGAAAAUGGCUGUGGGAGAGAGAGGGGUGUCUAUAUAUAGUGUUGUAACAAUUACAUUUAAGCCCCUCCACUUGUUUCCCCUGAUCUGCCGAGACUGGGCAUCUUUCGCCUUCGGGGACCGGUCUCCCCGACCAGGGACCGAUUCCCGAACGGGGGUUUUUCAGGACUUAGCCAAAUUUUCGAGUUUUUCAGCUGUUGCGCAACGAGGGAUCGGUCUGCCCGUCAAGGACCGGUCUCCCGAGGACCGGUCUCACCACUAAGGACCGGAUGCCUCAGGAUUUCCUAGCAGGCUACGCGCACGGGGACCGGUCUCUCCUUCAGGGACCGGUCCCCGAGAGCUCAAAAUCUCGGACUUAGCCAGAUUUUCAGAUUUGCUCUCCGGGUCCCUUUUUGCUCCGUUUAUAAACUCUAAUGCACUUAGGGUCCACUCUAACUCGUUCAAUUUCGCGUUCCGCUCGUUUUGACGGAACUCGGUACGAUUUACGAGGGAUGUGGUAUGUUACGUCGAGUAUUUGAAUUGACCUCUCUGACUGGCCAUCACUCUGCGCAUGAAACGCCGUACUGAAAUCGAGCCGCGUGCCUAUAGCAUCCUGCAAGCUCUUUCAGAAAUCAGAAGUGAACCGGGGAUCUCGAUCUGAUACAAUCGAUAAUGGAACCCCAUGCAAUCUCACUACCUCAUCCAAGUAGACUUGUGCUAACUUUUCUCCGGACCAUGUGGUGUGGAUCGGCAAGAAAUGAGCCGACUUUGUCAAACGGUCCACAACCACCCAUAUGGCAUUAUGUCCAGCUUGCGAUCGGGGUAGUCCGACCAUAAAGUCCAUCGUUGUGUCUAUUUCCACAUGGGGAUUGGUAAGCUCUGCAACUUCCCCGCGGAAAAUCGACGCUCGACCUUCACUUGUUGGCACGUCAAACACUGCACCACGAACUCCCCAAUGUCUCUUUUCAUGCCCGGCCACGAAUAAUGCAAUUUUUAGGUCUUUGUACAUCUUUGUGCCGCCCGGGUGAAUACUAUGCGGGGAAUGAUGCGCCUCUUGCAAUACCAUCUUACGGAUUUCAUCAUCUUUGGGUACACACAACCGGUUUCUGAACCGAAGUGCAUCGUCGGAUCCCACGCCGAAGUCACCGGCGCGUCCGCCCUUAAUGUCUGUCACGCCCCGGGACCUAGCGGAAGCCCGCCCGGCGCGUGUCCAGACCCGCCAUAUGUCUAAAACAUAUAAGGCGUCUAAAACAAAACGAUAAAUGAAGCAGUAAAAAGAGAACAUCUAGGAGUAUCAGAGCAAGUAUAUCUAGAUGCUACAAUAGAGAAAAAAAACUAUAAAACUAAAAUCCACUAGAUGAAAACAUAAAGUAGUACAAGAAGAAUCCCGAAAUAAGUGCUAUAAGUAAAUACAUAGGUGGUCUCUAUACAUGGAUACAAAACCUCUCUCUCUCUCGACAACAACAAAAAGAGAGAAAACUACCUAGGCAACAGUAAAUCCUCGCUAUCUAGCUAGCGAUCCCCUUACCGCGAUUCCGUGCCUCCGCCGGUGCAGAGGGUUCUGAAAAGGAAACAUAGAAACAGGGGCGUGAGAACUAUUAAAUAAUAGUUCCCAGUGGGCAAUUACUAACUUCAGUGAAAGCACCACUAGGCCCAAAAGAGCUAAACAGGUAAGUAACAAUAAAAGCGAUAGAAUCGAUAUGUAAGUAAACAUGUAAACUUACUACAACAUGAUAUCUUUAUUUAGCAUGAAUUUGCAUAAGUAAUAGAGGACUAUUCUAACAUAAAUGUACCCAAGUAUCACUGGCAUGAUGUCCACAAGCUAAAUAGUAAAAUGUUUUGUUUACUAUUCUAGUCAAUGUCCAGUCGAUAUGCUAAGUCAUCGGAGUGCCGGCUUGUAAGGAGCGACCCUCACAAGCAUGUGCGAAUGAGCACAAUGGCAAGCAAGCAAAAGAUCUGUCUCAAGUAUCAAGUCCUUAUGUCUAAAAAUAUGGAAUAUACGUCGAAUGUCUCAAAGGCCUAUCUCUAUGUCAUCAUGUCUCUAACAUGGAAUAUAGCAGAUGUUCAAUGGCCUAUCACUAUGUCUCUAUGUUGCAGUUUCACAGUUUACUAUGUCAAGUGCCUCUUUAUGGCAUUUUUGUCNUCCACUAAGUCCAAACAUGAGUUUAUUGUUUACAAAUGCAUAAUUUGAGCAAAUUCUAACAUAAGAGACAUGUUUCCGAGUCGCUAACACGAACACUUCUCAUGUACAUGCAAAAUGCCAGAAUGCCUUACUAUAUAGAGUGAAAUUUUCAUGAUACAUAAGGCAUGCAUUUUAAGUGUUCUAAAAUUCACAUAAAUCCCAUUUAACAUGAAUAUGAAAUCAAAUUGACGUUACGACAAGUAUAGAAUACUUAGGGGCUAUUUCGCCCCGAUUUCAUGAAAUCAAACCCACCGAAGUUACCGAAACCCUUCGUAAGCUCCGACGAAGGUGUCCACCAGUCUCCUAGUACCCUAAAGGUAUAGAAAAGAGAGUCAAACGAACCUUACGAACAUCCAAGUGAUCGAUCAUUAACCAUCUCAAGCUAAGGUAGAGAAACUCACCUCAAGUGAAGAAAUCCUUUCUCAAGCUCUAAAUGGGAGUUAGAGUUCUUCAAAUCCAACGUAAAGAAAGGUUCUAAGCCCAUCAAUUAGGUUUCAAAGCCCUCAAAUCGAAAAUCCCCAAAAUAAACCCUAAUUCCACAAUCUAGGGUUUCAUCUAGUAAAAUCUAGAAAAUUUGUAUUCUAUGGAGAAUACAAGCUACCAAUCUUAAGAUAAGCUCCAACCGAAGCUCUAAACCAAGUAGGGUUGAAGUUUGAUCCUCCACAAAGCUUCAACCUCGAGCUCCAAGCCACCAAUGUGUGAUGAGAGGAAGAAGAUGAUGCUCCAAGGCCUCCAAGUAAGCUCCUAUCCUCUCCUUCAUCUUCUUCUCCUUCUCUUUCUCUCUCUAGUGUGGGUGUGAGGGAGAGAAAUGAGAGUGAGAGUGAGAGUAAGAGAGAGGACCAUAUAAGCCAUCCCAAGUAACAAAAUCCACUUAGGUCCCUCAACAAUCAACACUGUGCACAGCCCGGUCUGGGCAGUUUUCGGACUGAGGGACCGGUCUCCCCGACCUGGGACCGGUCUCUCAGCCUGCCUUGAAAAUCCAACGUUCGGGAACCGGUCUCUCCCCGCAUGGGACUGGUCUCUCCUCGCGUAGUCGUGCUCGGGGACCGAUCUCAUCCUUUAGGGACCUGUUGCCUCGCUGGCUGCCGCAACACUGUUCUGAGGGGACCGGUCUCUUCUAUCAGGGACCGAUUCCCGAGAGUGAAAACUCUCCGGACAAUGCCAAAACUCCAGGAAUCGAAUUUUUAGGUCGGAAUACCAUCUACGACCUUCCACCAAGUGUGGAAAAGUUCGGAAUCCAUAUCAAAUACUCGAAUCUCGCAAUUCGCAAAGGUCCAGUGUGCUACAAUGUCAUUCCGCACCUUUUGAAGAUACAGAUCAUCAACUUGCCGCUCCUUAAUCCGCUCCAAUACGGUCGGUCAAACCACUAGUGCCGCCAAAAUGGUCGGAACCUCCGGCGCCACUACUUCCAAUCUGAACCGUUGCAUUUCUUUCUGCAACAACGGUUGACUAGUAACUGUCGUCGCUAAGUUCUCAACAGAUUUUCUACUUAGCGCAUCGGGAACGACAUUAGCUUUUCCGGGGUGGUGUAGGAUAGUAAGGUCAUAAUCCUUCAACAGCUCCAACUACCGCCGUUGCAACAUGUUUAACUCUUUCUAGAUGAACAAAUACUUGAGGCUCCUGUGAUCGGUAUAUACCUCACAAUGCUCGUUCAUUAACCUCAUUUACUUGUUCAUUAAUCUCAUGGCUUACCCGAAGGCUCGCCUACAGCUCACUAGCCAUCUCGACACGUAGGNNNNNNNNNNNNNNNNNNNNNNNNNNNNNNNNNNNNNNNNNNNNNNNNNNNNNNNNNNNNNNNNNNNNNNNNNNNNNNNNNNNNNNNNNNNNNNNNNNNNGGCUCAGGGGUACUUUCAAAUUGAGGGAAUAGACUUUGAAGAAACCUUUGCUCCGGUUGCCCGUCUUGAAUCCAUUCGUAUCCUGUUCGCGAUUGCUUGUCACUUUAAAAUCACGCUCUUUCAAAUGGAUGUCAAAAGUGCGUUUUUAAAUGGAUUUUUAAAAGAGGAAGUUUAUGUUGAACAACCGAAAGGUUUUAUAGACUCAAAAUUUCCAAAUCACGUUUUUCGACUGAAAAAGGCACUUUAUGGACUAAAACAAGCUCCGCGAGCAUGGUACGAACGCUUGACAAAAUAUCUUUUGGAAAAGGGCUAUAACCGAGGGGGAGCAGAUAGAACUCUUUUUGUGAAACACCUGAAGGAUAAUUUCAUUGUAGCACAAAUAUAUGUGGAUGACAUAGUUUUUGGGGCUACUAAAGAUAAGGAUGCCGCUGAUUUUGCAAAGUUAAUGACCAGUGAGUUUGAGAUGUCAAUGAUGGGGGAGCUUAAUUAUUUCCUCGGGCUUCAAGUCAAACAAUCAAAAGAUGGAAUUCAUUUGUCACAGACAAAGUAUGCGAAGGAACUAGUUAAGAAAUUCGGAUUAGAAAGUGCAAAGGAUUUUGACACUCCCAUGGGUACAAGCAACAAAGGACUGGGAUUAAAUUCAGAAGGUCAGAAUAUAGAUGAGAAACAAUACAGAAGCAUGAUUGGUAGCCUUUUGUAUCUGACUGCGAGCAGACCUGACAUUGCGUUUAGUGUUGGAAUAUGUGCUCGUUAUCAGGCUAAUCCUAAGGAAGUACAUCUGAAAGCAGUUAAAAGGAUUAUUCGGUAUGUUAAAGGAACAACCGAGUAUGGACUAUGGUAUCCUAUGGGAACGUCUCUUGACCUAAUCGGCUACUCGGAUGCUGACUGGGCAGGCUCCGCAGAUGAUCGGAAAAGUACUAGUGGAGCUUGUUUUGACAUUGGACAUUGUUUGGUCGCUUGGCACAGUAAGAAGCAAAAUUGCAUUGCUCUUUCCACUGCAGAAGCUGAAUACAUUGCAGCUGGAAGUUGCUCUACUCAAUUAAUUUGGAUGAAAAGCUUACUAAGCGACUAUCGGAUUCCUUCUACCACUCUGACUAUUCUGUGUGACAAUACGAGUGCAAUUAAUAUUUCUAAAAACCCUGUUUUACAUUCUCGAACAAAACAUAUUGAACUAAGAUAUCAUUUUUUAAUAGAACUUGUAGAAUCAAACGUUUUACAACUUGAAUACAUUUCAGCUGAAAAUCAACUUGCAGAUAUUUUAACCAAACCUUUGGAUCAAAAACGUUUUCUGCAUUUGAGAAAGGCAAUUGGUAUGAACCCAUCAAUCUAGAUAUAUUCUAUUGAGCCACAGAUCAUGUGCAUGUUGCAUAUUUUUUCUUUUCUUGCAUGCUUUUCGGUGUUUAUGAUUUGUUUGAUUUUCUUGCUUGAUGUUGCCGUUUCGGGAAAUGAGUUGAUCUGUGAAUUUAAGUAUUUCAUAUUUAAGUUUUGAUUGAUCAAUGUCAGGGUUAUUCUCUAUUGACAUAUUCUUGAACGAUCAAAUCCUUGAAAUUCUAUUUAACAUAUUAAAUCAAAUUCAGCACCUCAUGCUUCGAACUUUGAAUAUUGCAAUUGUUUGUUUGAUUAUUAGUUUUGAGAUGAAUAAAUCUUUCUCUAUUUUUGAAAUUGCUAAAAUAUUUUUGACUUGAGGGUUGCACUAAUUUAGGGGGAGUCUUGCCGAUUUUAGCUAUGAAAAUUUAUGAAAUUCAAGAUGUGGAAAGAGUUACAUCCCCGCUGGGAGUGUGAAAACUACCACCACAUGGAGGAAAGAGCUACCACCCCGGUCGUCCGGUCAGUGUGUGCAGCUACCACAUGAUGAUCAAUAUAUCUCUAUGAGCUAAAAGCCAAUAACGAAUGAAUCAAAAUGAGAUGUUGUGGAGAUGGUAAAAUUCUAAUACUAUGUUUAAUACAUCUCCUAGGCGAUAUAAGGUGGUUUGUUAAAAGAUGCUCAAAGAGCCACUCUUAUCUCGAAUUAUGUGCAUAACUCAAGUUGAGAAUAUUUUUUUAAUUUCCUGAUUAUGAGAUUUAUUUAUUCAAUUUCUUAACAAAUAUGAUGAUAAAAUGAUGCAAUUUAUCCCUAGAUCUUGCAUGAUGUGUGGAAUUUUAUUUGAUACUUAUCAAGAAUUUUAUUUGAUUUUCGGAUCAACAAUAUUUGACAAAUUGAAUAUCUUUGAGAUUGAUUUUCAAAAUUUAUUUAUGAAAUUUUAUUGGAAGUUUUUGGGGAUGGAUAUUAUGUAUUUUUGCUGUUGGAUAUGUUGAGGAUAUUAUAUAGAAUUUUUGAAAAUUUUGGACGAAAAAUGGAUUUUUCGGUUUUGGCUCUGGGACCGGUCCCAGACUUGGAGAGACCGGUCCCUCCGCCCGGACCGAUAUAAGGGUUUGCGGUCCGGUUUCUUCUCACUUUACCAAACUCGUUCUAACUUCUCCCUAGGGCCUCUAACAUACCUAGGGUGCUUUUGCUUCAAAUCUUCAUCAAUUUACACUUGAUUUUGGUAUGAUUCUCGGAUUUUAUUUCGUUGGUAUCUUAUAAUCCGAAUUUAUGCUUUAUUUUCAAUUUUUGGAGGAUUUGUUCUCAUUAUGUUGUUAGAUCUUUUCUUUUUUGCCCUGAUCUUACCUCUAGACAUGUUAGUCAACAUUUUCCUGCAUUAUUUCAUAUUUUGAUAUAAUUGUUUGGUUGUUUUUGCUAUGUUUUCUUCAUCAAGACCUAAUUUUUUUCAAAUUUUUCGAAAAUUGGGAUUUUACUGAUUUUUGAUGCUUGUUUUGUCCAUGAUUUUCAUGGUUAUGUGGCCCUAGAAUUAUCUAGUACAUUACAUAUCAAUUUUCGAAAGUUUUUUUUAAUUCACAAAUCAAUUGUUUUUAUGUUCAAUAUGUAUAAAUUAUUGUGUUUAUCAGGGGUUUCUUCGAAAAUGUACUCGUGGAUACUUGUUCUUGUGGUUCUUAUGGCUGGAGGUAGUCGUGGCAGUAAGCGACAGCGCUCAAAAGCUAAAAGGCCGAUUGAGUAUCAACCGGAGGAUGAAGAGAGCGAAUAUGCUCCUGGUGAUGAACCUGAGGAGGACGAACCGGAUUGGGAGACUUUUGUUCCCGAGGUAUUGGCUAAGGAUAAGGAUACUGGGAAAGGCAAAGGAAAAGGAAAAGCCGUGGAUAAAGGCAAAGGAAAGGCAACUUAGCGUCCCAGUCGUCGUAAGUCCGGGGGUGUUGAAAUUCGAGAACCAGGCUCUGAACCACCACGUCACAGUCUACAGGAUGUUCCAUCUAAUCGUCGGUCGAUGUACUCGUCGAAACACUGUAUUGGUGAGCGAGAUGUUGGGGUGGCCAGUAUCAUUAGUUGUGUGCCGGGUUUUUAGGAUUUAUUUGAACAGGGGAAUCUUCAUCAGAUUUGUGAUUUUCCGGAGCAAACCGGUUAUUGUUUGGAGUUGAUCAGAGAAUUUUACAUGAGAGCAGGUCACCUCAGUGACUCCGACGGCGGUCCGUACGUGUUUAAGACUUCCGUAUGUGGUGUUGAGUUAUUCAUCACUCCUGAGACAAUAGCUUCGGUGCUAGAGAUGGAAGCAACGACUGACGGAGUGGAGUAUCUUCAGGCUGGAUUCGACUCACUUCGCUUUGGAACCGUGUCGUGAACACUAUUUGUAUGCCGGGUACUGAAUCAAACGGCAUUAUGGUUAUGUCAAAAGAUUUCAAAAUGGAGUACAGGUUUCUGAACUUUGUGGUUUGCUACAACAUCAUGCCUCUCGCGAACACGAAAAUCUUGAGAUGGGAUCGUAUUCUGUACAUGUAUCUCUUGGGUAGGCCGGAUAUUGUAAGUGCCAAAAAUAUUAACAUGAAUAUUCCGUUUCUGAUCUGGCGGAGAAUGGCAAAAGAUAUCAAGACUUCCGGACAAAAUGAGAGGUUACCAUUUCCUUUGAUAAUUAUGAGGAUUUUGCGACUUCGUGAGGUGGAUGUUCGGUGUACAUCAUACGAGCACAGUUUGGGUCGGAUCAAUGAAAGGACGUUUGUAAAGUCCUCGGUGCAGCUUCGUACGCCGUCUCAACGUGCUUCUUCCCCUCCUGCAGCUCCACCUCCUGCUACUGCUACUUCUUCACGUCCUUCUAUGGACAUUUCUGAGGAAGAUAUUUCCGUUUCAUCGGUGUAUCGCGAGCAGCAACGUCUAUCUGAGGAGCUUCAGAAGUUGUCUGCAGAACAAGCUGCGAUUCGUAAGGAUGUGAGCAAGAUGAAGCGCUUGUUGAAUAUGAUUUUUGACAAAUUGGGAUGUUGUCGGGCCGAUUUACCUUCCGGAGAUGAUUCUGACUAGGAUUUACCGACCUUCUCCUUUUGUCGUUUUGGCGCUUUCUGACAAAAAGGGGGAGAUGAUGGGAUGGAUGGAUGGUCUCUUAAUGAUGAUGAUGAUGCAUUUAGCUUAGGGCUUUGCUUAGUUAAGAUGACUUUGUUUUAAUGCUUUAGGUGUUUGGUGUUUUCGUUUAGUUUAACUAUGAACUAUGAAGUGUGAACUUUAGUUGAUUGUUUGAUCUUCUUGAUACUUCUUGAUACUUGAAUCUUGAUUAUGCUUUGAGAAUGUUUUUGCAGGAAUAAUUCAAGACUUCAAGACUCCAUGUCUAAGUCAUAGAGUUUGUAUUAAGGUUGUAAAAGUGUAAAUUUUGUUUAUUGGAUUGAUCAUGCAGGAGAUUAUCGUUUGGUGAUUGCGAUGAUCUUCUUUUUAUGACUUAUUGGUUGUAUACGAGCUUUGUAGUAUAUUUUGUCACGAAAUCGCCAAAGGGGGAGAUUGUUAAGGAUUUUAUAGGUUGGCGAAUUUCGUAAAGUUGUUUGGAGUCUUGAAGAGUUGAUCGCAGAAGAUUUUGAGAAAAGAUUCAAAUUGGAGGACAAAGACUCAUUCGGAAAGAUCGACACCUAAGGUAUGUAGAAAAGAUCAUUUGUGGUGAAGAUACAUGAUUAAAAUAAGUUCAGAAGGCUUAGAUUGUUUUUAAACAAAUUUUCUGAACUUUCUUGUGUUCUGGGACCGGUCUCUGAAAUGGAGAGACCGGUUCCCCCAAGGUCCUCACUGCGUAAACCUUGAUGCAACCGGUCCCCUGUGAUGAGAGACCGGUUCCCGAACCUUGGUGGUUCUGUCGCGCAGCGAGGGACCGGUCUCAAGUUUGAGAGACCGGUUCCCGAACGUUGGGUUUUUGGUCACGCAGAGAGGGACCGGUUCCUCACUUGAGAGACCGGUCUCUCACAGACCGGUCUCCUCGAGAGGACCGGUCUCUGAGGACGACACAGGUUUUUAAAAACGACUUUUUGCAAUCCUAGUCUACUUCUAAGUCUUCUAAACAUAUAAAUAAGCUAUGUGGGUCAUCUAAAAUUAAGGCUUUGAAUAAUUUACCAAUUCCAAACCCUAGAAACUUAUUUCUUCCCGUUUCAAUGCUUAGAUUUACAUGAUGAGUUUCUAGCAAUCAACAUCGGCUUGAUUCUUCGUUUUUACUCGAUACUUCUUACGAGAAUCAAGUAGAUGGUUGAUUAAAGGUGAACCCUCAUAGCUUAUGGUUUUCAAAAGUUAAAUCACCACAAAUCUUCAAUUCUACAAGCUCCGGAAGGAGGUUCGGCGCGUGGAUCUCGCGUGAAGCCGAGGAUUCGGUGGACGCUUCGAGGAGUUGAGGCGUUGACGCUGCGAGGAGUUGCAGCAAGGUCGAUUGGUGGAUUCCUAUCGAUCGAGGACCGGCAAAGAUCACCGUCAACGAGAAAUCGGUAAAUUGAGUCGUGUGUUUUUGUCGAAAUCACUUGUACUCAAGUUUUCUUAGUGGAUUUUCUUUGCGUGAUCGGUCCCGUGGGUUUUUCACUCCGAAUUGGAGUUUUCCCACGUUAAAUUCUCGGUGUGCUGUUUUAAUUUCCGCUACUUUGUUUUAAUUGCAUCAAGACUUUCGAGUUUGCCGGAUUUACACCUAUUCACCCCCCUCUAGGUGUUACUUACCUUUUAGAUCCUCGGGAUCCAUAUCUCACACAAUUGCCUAUUUGCACUGGGCAGUCCAAGCACUCAUCGUAAACGUCGAUCGAGUGCCCGGGAGUGUUCACCGACCAAUACUCCUCAUUAUGAGUGAUCUCUAUAUUAUGAGCUUGUGCAAAUGAUGCUAAUAUGAAUGAAUGAGAUGCACCCGUGUCAAAUAUAGUUCUAGCCCUAGUGCCUUUAAUUAGAAUAAUACCUGCCACGACGUCGUCGGGAACGAUAAUUGGUGGCUCCUCCACCUGAGUGGCAAAUACCUGCCCACUAGGUGCUCGAGAGGCCUCCGGCUGACGAGGUGCCGACGAUCGUCCAGCAGAUGUCGCGGGUGGCAGUCCCGCCAGCUGUCGCUGAGUGUACUGAACUGAAGCUGAUGACGGAGCUGGGGAUGCGCCGCUCCGGCACUCUCGGCUCAUGUGUCCCGGUUGGCCACAUCGGUAACACCGCCCCUCCCGCUGCGGGCAAUUGCUGGCCCUAUGCUCUUCGCCGCAUAUCACGCACGGGUAGGUAAGCUGGCCCUGUGUCUGACUCCUACCUCCCCGCCACUGUGAUCGCUGAGGUCGCGGGGGUCGCUUAGAACUCGACUGACCCGCCGAUCCACCAGCAGGUCGCUUCUUAGCCUUCUCCCUUUCCUUAUCCUUCUCAAAUGCCUCGCGUUCGUCACGCGCAAUGGCAUUUCCGCGCUCCACCCAAAGCGCGCGGUCAAGAACCUCCUCAUAGGUCUUCAAGCGGAAUGCAUGAAUGACCUUGAAAAUCUCGGGUCGCAACCCGCGCUCAAAUACCUCCGCUCGGUCCCUAUCGCUGUGAACCAAGUCUGGCACGCAGUUAAUCAUGUGCGUGAACUCCCUUUCGUACUCCCGCACCGUUCGGCUUCCUUGCCUUAGUUUUCGAAAAUCCUCCUUGAUUUUCCUUUUGUCACUCUCGGGGAAAUACUCCAUAAGCAGCAUCUCCCGAAACGCCUCCCAAGUGAGAAGAGUGUGCCCUAGCGAGCGAUUCUUCUUCGUUUGAUUCCACCACAACCGAGUCGACCCAUCCAAACAAUGAGCCGCCAGGUGAACUUUAUCCUUCUCGAGGGUAUAGAUAUCCUCGAACAACGCCUCCAUCGCGGCCAACCAAUUCUCCGUCACCCACGGAUCCUUCACAUCGCCGUUGAAGGUCGGAGGGUUGAACCGCUUGAAUGCCGUCAGCGCCACCAACGUACGCUCCUGCUCGACCUCGAGCACAUCGAAAAUAGGAACCGAUGAACCCGAUGCCGCCGGAGGAACAGGCGUCACUGGCGCUGCCGCCACCGCAGGAGGUGGUGCUACAGGGGCAGCCGGUGGGGGUGGAUCCCUCGGCACUGAUGCCGCCGCCGCCUGUUGCGCCAUCAUCUCGUGGAGCUGUCCAAUCUGCUCCCCUUGUUGUCGCAUAGCCCCGGCCAAAGCCGCUACCUGGGCUCGCAACUCGCAUACUUCGUCCGACCUCGACUGCUCGGGCUCCUCCCGAGGCUCCGCCCGUGUGGACCUCGUAACUUUCCUUGGUGGUGCCAUCGCGUCCUGUAACGCAAUGCACACACAUUAGCACUCGACACACGUGACCCUUACACGUUCCAAGUUGCUACCCAAUUAAGCGAAAGCACAAGCCUAAUUAUUUUCACUCUCGGUGUUAUGUGGUCGGCCGCCCCACAAGGUUCUUUAAGUAGACAACAAUUAAGCCUCCUAGUCCAUCUCUACUUCCUUCUAGAGAACUGUUACUACUGACCCAAUUAUUUGCUUUCGCAUAAACCAAGUCCACGUUAAACGUUUCCUAAACCCCUAAGGUCUACAAUUUCCUAGGGUUUCUAGGUCAUCCCUAGACUUUUGCUUUCCGCUUCGCUCUGAUACCAUUAUAUCUGUCACGCCCCAAUCCCCACCAAUUUGGUUGGGUUCGGGUCACGUCAACAGACGCCGAACGGACAGAGCCUCCCCUGUCCGCCCAAGGCUCUAACAACAUGUAUAAAUAGGCAAUCAACAAGAGAUUUGCAUAUAUAAUACAAGGCUUGCACGAGGGCAAGCAACAACGAAAGCGAAAUCUCUAAGUUAAUUAAGCAACAUACAUGAUAUUUGAUUACAUUUAAACCAAAUUCAAGUAAAACUAUUACAUUUUUCCAUCAUAUCUUUUUACAUUUAGUCAUCCACCAAAUACAUGAUUGAUUACACUUUGCAUCUCUAAAUCAACAAAAUAAAGUUGAUACAUGUAUAUCAAAAAGGAAUGACUACAAAAUGUAUAGUCCCGGUGGCCGCUACCUACGGCGCCAAACCCUUGCCUCGGUCCUCCGCUGCCCCGCUCGUGCCAGGACCUGUAGGGUUAGUGGUGUGAGAACUACAACGAAGUUUCUAGUGGGUUCGGCAUCCGACCUCGCCGACUUACCCACUAGGUCUAUCCAGGCAUAAGUAUUUCAAGGAAAGAAAAGUAACCGGUACUAAUGCAUCUAAUACUAUGCCUGCAGAAGAAUAUCAGUGGAUUCAAAUACUCAAUGCGAUAAUAGAAAAUGCAUGCAUGCUCAAAUCACAAAUAAGCUUUGGCUCUUACCCAAUCUUACUGGUUAACCUUGUUAACCCCAAUAACUCACCACUCAAAAUCCCUUAAUAGCGGGGGACUCGAACCUCCCUAGGGACCGUCAUCUGGGGGACUUUACCACGCCCAGUGGUGACCAACUCCGGAGCGCACCGCUCGAGGGGGAGCGACCUCCCUCAAGCCAAGACGAAAUGUGAGUAUUGAUCUAAUCCUCAACUUGAGGAUUCAUAGCCACUAGUCACAAUGCCAAUGUCAUGAUAGGUCGCUACCUAUUCAUUCUUGCCACUCUCAAGGCUUUACCUUUGACAAUGUCACAAUUGGUUAAACUAUGUUUAACGGUUCAUCUCUCAAUGCCAAUUUUGUUUCUAUGUCAAUGUCACCAUUGUUUUCUAUUGUCCAAGUCCAACCUCACAUUCACACAACUUGAGGGUCCGAUCACACAUGUCCAUUUUGGUUCUAUCAUCCGCUAUGUUCAACUACGUUAGAAGUAUAUAAAUGAAGUCAAACCAAGUUCCACAUGUAUCUACCCUACUAUGCAUGAAUGGGUAUAUAUAAACAUAUAUGCUCAAGAAUAGAGAAAACAGACAUAGAAGGGAAUUCAACGAUUCCCGCGUGCACCCCCCACCUCUAUUGGUCGUGUGGGUGUAGAAUAUGAAGGCUCCCGCACUUUACGAAAGCCGAUUCCGCGCCCUAUAAUCAAAAUAGUGCCAUAUUAGGCCCCUUUGUACAUGAGCUAUACUCUAACAUUUUCGCAACGUUAAACGGAGUUGUCCAACGUGUUUAGGGCACCCCCAAUUAGGUUUCUACGGGGUUAAUUUGUCCCCGAAAAAUUCUAAGGCAAAAGCCCCAAUUUUCAAGCCCUAAUUUUGUCAUUUAGGGUUUUCCCAUGAAUCGAUCCCAAUCCUAAGCAAACAAUAGUUUAGAAUCAUCUAAGAAGCACUCUAGUAAGGUUUUUAGACCCUUGGUACCAACCCUAGGGCUCCAAACACCACUUCCAAGGAUUCACCAUGAGAGCACUUUGAGCUCUCAUGGGUACCAUGGUAUACAUGGCUCAAAAGAGCCUCUAAAGCCUCUAAGGAGCACAAAGCUCCAAAUCCCUAACCCAAAAUCCAAAUCCUAGAGGAAAACCUUACAAAACUUACCUCUAGUCCAAGCUCCCCCAAGAUCUUUCUUGUUGGAGAGCUUCUAGAACCUCCAAGGCGCCAAAUCCACCUUCUUCUCCAAGUUCUUCUUCUUCUUGUAAUAUACCGAAAAUUCGGAAAAUAAAUAUCGAACUUUAGUCAAAUUGACCAAAGUGCGAGGAUGGUACACUUCGGAAAGUCCGAAGGUGUUAAAACGAUCAAAAGUGUGUUGUGGAAGGUUUUCGAGAGCUAAAGAAUCAAAUUCAGCAAAACUGCAGAUUUUCAGCUCUCGGGGACCGGUCCCUGGUGGGAGAGACCGGUUCCCGAACGCGUAAGUAAUGAGACAACCGAAAAAAUGGCUAAGUCCUGAGAAAUUAGCUCUCGGGAACCGGUCCCUGCCUGAGAGACCGGUCCCCGAGAGACCGGUCCCCCAAAGAGAGACCGGUUGCCCUGCGCGCAGCAGCUCUGGCUGCGCGGGGAGAGCCUUCGGGAACCGGUCCCUGAAGGAGAGACCGGUCCCCGGCUGCGCGAACUGCCCAGUUCGAGCAGUGUAUUAAAGUGAAAGUUGAGGGGUUUAUUUGCAAUUAUGCAACCCAAUAGCUAUGUUAUGAGGACUAAUGAAAUUUUCUCUCAUUCUCACCCUCUCAAACACUCUCUUCUCUCCCUCUCUCUCUCUAGAAGGCAAAGGAGAAGAAGAAAGAAAGAAAGAAAGGAAGGACGGAAAAGAAGGGAAAGAAGGUGAAGAAGAAGAUCAAGAGGUGAAGCAACUUCAUUUUCUUCCUCUCUAGUGCAAGAAAGGAAAGCUUAUAAGGUGAGCUUUGAACCCUAUUGUAGUAAAACCCUAAAAUUUGCUUUGAAUAAACCUAGAAAUGGUUUUAAUGGAUUGUUUAGAGUCUUUGAAGCUUUCUUUUUGCUUCUUUAGAGAUCAAAGCCAUGGUUUAGCUUGAGGUGAGCUUUGGCCACCUCUAAUGGUGAAAUCCAAACUAGGGUUUGGAAUGAGCUAGGAAUGGUUUAGAUGAACUCUUUAGAGUAUAUUGAAGCUACUUUUGCUUCCCAAUGAGAGCAAACCCUAGGUUUGAUAUAUGUAUUGGAGCUAGGGCACCAAAUUGGGGCUUUUGCUCAUGGGGAUUUUUAAGUGCAAUUGACCCUCUAAAAACCUAAUUGGGGGUAUUUCCGACGCGUUGGUGCGCUCGGAUUAACGUUACGAAAAGUCUAUAGAAAGAUAUGGGAAAAAUGGCCUAAGUUGGCUUCGUUUUGCCGCAGGUGAAGAACGAGGAGCCUAUAAAUCUCAAGAAAAAUCAUUGGAGCACCUAAAUAGACCUACAAGGUGGGUGGUGCUUCUCAAACUCAUUGAACUUCUCUCUAUGCCUAAUGUGUCAUUCAUUUGAGCAUGUAUAUAUAUUGUUGCAUGCAUUUUAGGGUAAAGUAAUGAUGAAAAAAUAUAAUGAUGCACGAUUGUGAGUACAACUUGCAUAAUAUGAUGAAUGAGAACUAUGUAAACGUCGAAAACCCUAUGUGUAUGCAUGAGAGAAUAGUGAGCACCCAAAGUGAGCAAAAGAACAGAGUGACACAAUGACAUAGAUCGAGUGGCAUUCGAUAAAGUUAACGUAAAAUGAUACUAGAGAUAGUGUGAGGUAAAGAACCAAUGUAAUGUAAAGAAUGAUGAAAAUGACAAUGCUUAAAGUUAAAGUAAUGUGGGAAGUAAAGAACAUGAAGUGCUAGAGGUAGCCAAAAAUAAAGAAUUGUAAAGAAUGUGUUCGCAUGAGUUUGCAACAAAAAGUGAUGAAAGAACACUAGAGCUAGUGUAAAGUCAAGAUUGAACUUAUAAAUCCUUUGAGUUAAGGAUAUGAUCAUACUUGCUAUGAGUUCCGUGCUCGAGGGCGGUCGCUCCCCCUCGGGCGAUGCGCUCCGGAGUUAUGCAUCACGGGUUGGAGUAAACCCGAAGGACGGUCCUAGCGGGUGAGUUCCUGCGAUGAUGGACUUAAUGUGAAGCAAGUUAAUGUGGCGAUACCCCCGGGUUAGCCUUGAGAUUAAAGAACAAAGUGCAAAGAACAAAGAACAAAGAACAGAGAGUAAAAUGAAAAGAACAAAGAAUUUGCAUAAUCUGCAUUUAUUUAAUGUUGAGCAUACUCCUUGCUUUAUUGUUCAGGCAUAUUAGCAUCAUGUAUAGAUUGGUUACUAUAUGCAGCUUAUUCCUUCUAUUAUGCCUAAGUUAGUCCUAGUGGGAAAGUCGGUGAACUUGAGGCCGAACCCACUGGGAACUUUGUUGUAGUUCUCACCCUACUAUUCCACAGAGCCGGGACCGAGCGAGCCGGUGAGCGACCGAGGUAAAGGUUUCGCGCCUUAGACAGAGGCCACCAGAGUUGAGUUGGGGUUUACAUUUUGUUAGUAGAGUACCCUAUGAUCAUCUUUUGUAUUUGAUGACUAGUGAUGUAAAGAAAAGAAUGUAAUGUGUAUUUUGAAGUAAAUGUGAUGUUAGAAAGAAAUGAUGAAAUGAAAUGUAAGGAAUUCGAAAAUGAUCAAGAUGAAUGCAAUGUAUAUGAUCAAAAAUGAAUCAUAGUACAAGUGAAUGUUUAGUUUUCCUUUCUUUCACUAAUGGCUAUUGCUUACCCUCGUGUAAACCGUUUGUGUAUGUUUCCGCUAGUGCAUUUCUUGUUUGAAUUUGUACAUGUGAUGAGCCUUGGGCGGAUAGGGGAAACUCUGUCCGUUCGGCGUCUGUUUGACGUGCUCGGGUCGGGCCAAAUUGGUAUCGGUCCCGGGGCGUGACACUUCUUCUCCAAGCUCUAGAGGGGUUCUAGAGAGAGAAAGAAAGGAAAUGAGAGAGGAGGAGAGAAAUGGCUGUGCGAGAGAGGGGAUGGGCCAUAUAUAGUGUUGUAAUAAUUGCACUUAUGCCCCUCCAUUUGUUUCCCCUGAUCUGCCCAGACUGGGCAUUUUUUGCCUUCGGGGACCGGUCUCCUCAACCAGGGACCGGUUCCCGAACGUGGGUGUUCCAGGACUUAAUCAAAUUUUUGAGUUUUUCAGUUGUUGCGAAGCGAGGGACCGGUCUGCCCGUCAGGGACCGGUCUCCCGAGGACCGGUCUCACCACCAGGGACUGGAUGCCUCAGGAUUUCCAGGCAGGCUACGCGCACGGGGACCGGUCUCUCCUUCAGGGACCGGUCCCCGAGAGCUCAAAAUCUGGGACUUAGCCAGAUUUUUAGAUUUGCUCUCCGGGUCCCUUUUAGCUCCGUUUAUGAACUCUAAUGCACUUAUGGUCCAUUCUAACUCGUUCAAUUCCGCGUUCCGCUCGUUUUGACGGAACUCGGCACGAUUUACGAGGGAUGUGGUAUGUUACAGCUCUUAUCUCACCCGUCUCAUAUCUCAUGGCCAUAGGUGAAGAGCUACCCCGCUCUAAUCUCACCCUUGCUAGUAUCUCAAAUCUCAAAUGUAAAGAGCUACCCCGCUCCAAUCUCACAGGUAAAGAGCUACCCCGCUCAAAUCUCACAGGUGAAGAGCUACCUCGCCCUUCGCCUGACUCACUUUCCAGUCCAAUAGGUGAGGAGCUACCCCGCUCGUAUCCCACCCGGUGAGCUACCCAGCUCGUGUGACAACUCCGGAGUGCACUGCUUGUGUGGAGCGACUAUCACAAGCCCAAAAUAGAUUAUGUGAGUAUAGCCCAAUCCUCGCCAACUGAGGAUACCCUGUCAACUAGGUUAACAAACACUCGAAAAUCCACCUAACCCUAGGUCCAUGUCAAGUGUCUCAACCACACUAAUCAACUCACACUAGGGAAUUUAACUAUCCCCAUGUUUGAUGCCGUAGUGUCUUAAUUACACUAAUUCUCAUGCAAGGUGUCAUGACUAGGGAAAACUCACCUAUUCCCUAAGUUCAACCCAUAGUGUUCCACUACACUAAGUUCCAAUGCACUCGUCAUGUAUUUACAUUAUCUAUAUGCCACUCGUUCUCAUUAUAAGUGUUUCCAUCACACUAGUUCACAAGUCACUAGUUUUCAUCAUCAAGUCCGAGUUUACCAUUUUCUUAUCACUAUAGGAUCUCAUGUCACAACCUUAAUCCUCAUGCAUUCUAGGUUUAAGUGUCGAGCCCACAAUGCUACACUACUAGACAUGCAUGCAAGGAAGUAGAAAUGCAACUAUACAUACAUCCUAUAAUGCAUAAGAACAAUAUGUGCAAUAUGACCAAAAAUCUAACUCGGACAUAGAAGAAAGCCCAGUUGCUUCAGGAUGGACACCCCCCACCUUUUAUCGCGUUCCGAUUACUCGUCGUCACUUGCAAUCGCCCUCCCGCGGCACUCGGUAUCCGGUUUAGCCCGAUUCUGCAAUCACUCAUCAACCGUGCAUCGCUUCGCAGCCACGGUUAAAAAGGGUCUUCGUUUAUUUGCCGCGGUGCCCUGGUUCUAUUUUCAUGAUUUAUGGACGCCGCCUCGGCCCUCCAGGCGGAAACGAAGUUAAAUCCUCCGCUUCUUCAAUAUCUUAGCACCGGCUCGACGAAUCGCCGAACCGACUUCGUCAAUGCGUUCGUAUACCUAGCAAUUAGGUUUACAUAGGGUUAAACUAGAUCAAACCCAACUAUUUCUCAAAACCUCAAUUUUGAUGCCCUAAAACCUCACUAUUGCAAUAAACCUCAUACAAGUAAUUAUUCAAGCAAUAAAUGAGAUUAGUAACUUCUAGAGCAUUAAUAAGCAUCAUCUAGCCAAGUUCCAAGAGGUCUAAGCCAUGCCCUAGCUAUUCACCAUGAGAGGCUCAAAGAGCUUACCUCUACAAGCAAGGAAGAAGAUGAAGAAAAUGAUAGCCCACCUUCUUGCUCCAAUCUCCUUCCUCUCCUCCUUCUUGUCCCACUUCUAGAGAGAGGGAGAGCUUCUAGAGAGAGAGAGAGAGGGAGUUUCUCUCACUAAAAGGUAGUGGUGUGGUGGCUGUGAAGAGAGAAGGAAGAAAAAAGGGGUCAAACCCCUUCUUAUGCAAAGCCCCUACCAAUAUAUUACAAGUUUGCCACUCAAACUAGGCAUUUUUCGGGCUCAGGGUUCGGACCCCGUAGGUCCAGAAAAUCAGCAUUUUCAGACUUAGCCAAAAUUUCAGCAUUUUCGCCAAUUUUGGUUCGUUUUCGCUCGUUUUCGCUCCGUGAGUCUCCGAUUCGUUUCAAAUCGAACCAAGACUCUCAAAAUAUGUUUUCGAGUGCGUUUACAUCAUCUUUUCAUCCAUGCUAAUGUCGGAUUUAGUUCAUGAUGCAACAUAGCCUUUCGGGUAUCCUUUUCGCGCCUACGCGCACCGAAAAUGCCCGAAUGCUUCCGAAUUUCGCCGGAGCCAUUCAAUGGCUUUCCAAACCAACAUACACCAGAACUUCAUAAUUUUAGAAGUUCGGCACCUUACAACCAGUACACGACCAAUAGUACUGUUUGUACUCCAACCUGGUUUCCCAAAAUCCAAAUAUCUGUUUUCGCGGCUUUCUACUUUGUACUAGUACUCAAACGAAUCAAUACUAGUACUUAAUGAAUUAAUAUUGGUAUUUGGGGAGAGUUUUGCAAAAUUCGAAUGUGGGUUUCAGUUCUUUACAAAUGGGUACCGGUGCUUCUCUAUAAUGCCAAUAGUCAAUGUAAAAACUAUACUUCCAGCAAAAUUGACUCUUUGAACCCUGUUUUUGCACCGAGUUGCGUCAAAAAUAUUUUAAUGCUCUCCAAACCUUAUUGGGACAGUCCCAAUUGCUUUUCAAGCUACUCUUCACUAGAACUCCGCUAUUUGCAGAAAUUUAGUGCACUACAAUGAUGCUAAGGAAGUUGGCCUAUUUAUAGGCCUACAAUAAUAGCAAAAAAGCACCCGUAUAAUCUAUAUACACCACUCAGUCAGAAAUAGGAUUCGGGCGUACGGAACAACAUUCGGGCAUCCCAAACUGUCACGCCCCGGGAUCCUUUUUGAAAGCAAAUUCGAAAUCUAACUAUUUUAAAAAAUCAGAGUAAGCAAAAAACUACCCCUUUUUUUUUAAACCUUGACCCCCAAGGAUGCAAUAGAUCCGCCACAAAUAUAAAAUUUUUUAAAACAAACGGAUAGAGUCUCCCCUAUAUAAUGCUAUAUAUGAAGUAAUCAGAACGUAUACCAUAGAUCGAGACCUUUAUGACCGCCCGCUAGCUACGGCCUCAUGCUGCGUCCCGACCAAUCCCACCUGCGUCACCUGUGGAGAAAUGGGGGUAAGAAACCAACAGGGUCUCCCAGUAGGUACCGCAAGCCGACGAAGGUAAGCGUACUUACCGAUAACCAGGUAUAAUGUAACACAUUGGGCCUUUUCAAAUUGCGAGGUUCGAGUGUUUGAUCUGUGUUCCGAGCCUUUCUACAGUUUCUGGAGGGUCGUUGACAGAGCUCCGACCUAUAGUUCGUGCGCCGAGAAUUGAGGUUGGAAACUUAGCACCAAAAUCCUAAAGUUGGGAUUGUUGGUCUUGUUCUCGGGUUAGCCUCAGCCAAGCUGUGUACCGGUACAGCCUUGAUGGUUGUACCGGUAGAGUCUUGAUGGUUGUACCGGUACACUUGGAAUUUUCUGCCAACCCGAGGCUCGGGUUGCUGUCGCGCAGGAUUUGUACCAGUACACUUUCCCGUGUACCGGUACACUUUACUCUGCGAGCUAUUUUUGUAGAGGGGUGUUUUUGCGAUUGUUGCAACCCCUUUAUAACUCACCCUAGCCCCUUAGAGAGCUCUCUUGACCUGUGAAGAACAAGGUGAGAACUUCCCCCUUUGAUUUCUUCCCCAUUUUUCGAUGAUUUUAGUUGGUUUCGAUCUUCUCCCCUUUUGCUUUUCUUGCUUCUUGUUGGAAUUCCACCAUGAGAGAAGCUUGAAGCUUUUGUUAGAGCUCUUUUGGAGGAAGAUCUUCAACCUUGGAGGACUUGAAACCUUGCUGGGAGCUUCUUGUAAGGUUAGUAAGCUUAAUUUACCCUUUGAUUCAUGUUUUGGGGGAUUUUUUUGAUGCUGAAAUCCUAUAUUGAGAAUUUUAGGGUUAGUAAUGGGGAUUGUGGAUUUGAUACUUUGGGAACCUUAUUGAUAGGUUUAGAAUAUUUGUUUAGGUUGGAUUUGAGGGCCUUUAACUUCCAUUUGGAGAUCGUGUGAGGUUUCUUCGCAUUCGGUGAGUUUUCUUUACCUUUGCUUGAGUUGCUUAAUGUUUGAGCAAUUGAUUGUUCGUAACGUUCGUGUAUCUCUCUUUUCGAUACCUUUAGGGUGCUAAGAGAGUAGCGGGCACCUUCGUCGGCGCAAACGAAGGGCGGCCAAGAGUUUCGGUCGGUUUGGCUUCAUUGGAAUGGGAGAAAACUUCUCCGAUGGGAUUAAACUUCGUCGUAACAUAAAAAUGCAUGCAUAUUCAUGCUAGAUAGUAUUUAUGUGAAUUUUAGAAUACUUAAAAUCCUUAUGUUAUGCAUCAUGAAAAUUACCUCUAUAUAGUAGAGAGAGACACUUGUGUUAUUGGCAUACCCAGGCAUAGCAUUCUAAUAUGUGGAUUGGAAAUCAUGUUUCUUGCAAUGAAAUGGCUUAUGUAAUAUGCCCUGAACUUAGAACUCAUGUUGGGACACAGUGAGAAAAAGUGUCAUAAAGGGGCACUAACCUAGUAAACAGUUAGAUUGCAACAUAGUGGCACUGUGAUAGGCCAUUGAGACAUCGACUAUAUUCCAUGUUUUAGACAUGAUGACAUAGUCAUAGGCCAGUGAGAUACUUGCUACAUUCCAUAUUUUAGACAUGAUGACUUGAGACUUGAGACGGACUUUUACGCUUCCUUGCCAUUGUGCUUAUUCGCACAUGCUUGUGAGGGUCGCUCCCCACAAGCCGGCACUCCGGAGAUAGCCAUCGCGACAUAUGCUUGCCCGUGCGGGAUUGGGCGCCGAAAUGGGAUACCAUGGGGGAGGCUCAUUCCUAGAGUGGGGAUGUUGACUAUCACGGGGCCAUUAGGCACGGGGCAAGCUGGACUACCCAUGGGUAGGUCCUAUGAGAUUUGGAACAAGUGGAACUCAUUUGUAACUGAACAAUUUGACAAGUUAGUAAACAUUGACAAUUUACUAGUUACCUGUGGACAUCAUAAUACUUGCACUUAUGCAUAUUUAUGGUACAGUAGCAUUCUUACUUAUGCAAAUUCAUGCUAAGUAGAGAUAUCAUGUUGUAGUAAACUUUCAUGUUUAUUUGCUUAUUGUUCAUAUUGCUUAAUUACUCGUACUUACCUGCUUAGUUUUCGGGCCUAGUGGCGCAUUACACUAAAGUCAGUAAUUGCCCACUGGGAACUAUUAUUUAAUAGUUCUCACGCCCCCUGUUUUGUGGUUUUUAUUUCAGAGCCCUCUACACCGGUGGAGGCACGGGGUCGCGGCAAGUGGAUCGCUUAGCUAGCUAGCGAGGAGCGUUUCUUUUGCUUAUUAGGUGGUUUACCCUCCUUUUUGUUUGUAGUUGAGAGUGAGAGGCUUUGUAUCCAUGUAUAGAAACCACCAUUGUUAUACUUUUAGCACUUGUGUUUUAGAUGUUCAUUGUACUACCUUAUGGUUACUCUUAGUGAAUUUGUUAGCUCUUUCAUUUGCCUCUAUAUUUCUUAGAAUCUAGAUGUUGUACUAUGCUCUGAUACUCAUAGAUGUCUUUUUAUUAUCACUUUGUUUAUUGUAGUUUUGUAGACGCCUUAUAUGUUUUAGACGUAUGGCGGGUCUGGACACGUACCGGACGGGCUUCCGCUGGGUCCUGGGGUGUGACAUAUAAGUAAAGAAAAUUUUCUUGUAUGCUUCCUAAAGUAGGGUUGGACAAAUUGGAUUGAAAACUUGGUACUUAGAUGCAUGAGGAUUGGGUCGUUAGACAUUGGAAACCCUAUGAAUGCAAUGAACUAGAAUGUGAACUUAGAAAACAUUGUGGAACAUUGAUGACAUGAACUUGGUGGCAUCUUGACUAGUUGUUUGGAUAUAGAAAAUAAGCUGAGUGUAAACAUGAACCUAGCGAUGGAAAGAUGGAUUGGGUAUCCUAUUGUACAAGUAGAGAACAUGAAUAUUGUGUGUCAUGAUUGUACGAGUGAGUUUGUUGUUGCAAUUGCACAGGAUUGAGAUGAGCAUACGAGGGAUUGAAAUAGAUCCUCUGGACUAUACUAGAGAUUGGUAGAUCCCUGUAUGUUGUUACCCAGGUCAGUAGGGUGUCCUCGGGAUGAAAGGACUAGAUCAUACUCAUAUAGUCUGUACUAGGUUUGUGGAGGUCGCGACUCCCAAGCUGUGAGCUUUGGAGUGUCGCACGAAAAAGCGGGCGAGGGUCACGGCGGUGCCUCCCCGGCAGACAGCUAUGGUGGUGGCUCGAGUGUGAAAGACCUCCUCACAUGGCCGGCCAAGGUGGUGGCUCGGGAGUGAAAGACCUCCACCCAACAUGGCCAGCCAAGGUGGUGGCUCGGGAGUGAAAGACUUUCUCCCACAUGGCAGUGUGAGUCAUGGCUUGACCUACGGGUGAGCUGGUGAGAUUGGGUCAAAGAGGAAAGAGAUAGAUUGAUUAAUCAUAUUGUAUCCUACGCCUUAUUGCAUUUGUUGCAUCCUAUGGAGAGAGUGAGAAUAUUAGAGUCAUAUGUUAGGUGACGGGUCGAUCAUACUACCGUUGUGAGUAGCUCAAGGUAGGUGACGAAGCGGUGGAGCUAGUCCCCACGUGGCUGAUUGGGUCGAGAAUGAAUUGGGUCAAGAGUAAGUAAAAGAGCAUUGUUGAGCAUAUUGGACUUUGAAAUUCAUUUCCUGUUAUAAAGGCAUAGUAGUGUUUGUAUUGAUUUCAGUUAUGCAUAGUAUAGUUGUUAUAAUACAUUUUUAUUCUUUUAUCUACUUAUGCCUUAAUAGACCUAGUGAGAAAGUUGAUGAGGUCGAUGGCCGAACCCACUGGGAAUUUUUUUGGUUCUCACCCCUUGUUUUGCAGAGCCAACUAUUAGCGGAGCGACACUGGAUCGAGGCGUGGGCAUUGCGCCCUAGUAGCUGGGUCACCAAGUGUAGGUCACCCGCAUACAAGUAAAUGAAUGUAAAUAUAUUUUGGACAUAAAAAUAUAAUUGAGAGCGAGGUUGUAUUUCGAGGAAGCAUUCAUGUAUUAAUGUAAUGUGAAAAAAUGUAUGUAAAAUAUGUAUGUUCAAAUGUUGGAAUAGUUAGGUUUAAAAUUCUCACUCUUGUGAUAUGCCCUCGUGAAGAACUGUAUUAUAUUACUUUUUCUGGUUGAAAUUCAAUGUACUUGUUUUGUUUACACCUUAGGCGGAUAGAAAAAACUCUGUCCGUUCGGCGGUCUGUGUACGUGCCUGAACCUACCAAAAUGGCGACGCCGGGGCGUGACAGCUCUCGCAUAACUGACUCAAGCUCCUAAAUAGUUUCGCGCUCCUCGUGGUUCUCCUACUGAACGCUCACGUACGGAAUGCUCCAGUUCCGUAGUUGCUUCACCUCACAAGCCAAAAUCUGGAGCAGAGCCUCAUCAUAGCACAGAUCCACCCACAACUGAAUCGUCAUGGGACUAAUGACAUGGGACAUAUCUAGAAUGUACCUUCGAAGCAAGGAUGUCAUUCCCCGCAUGUCACGCCCCGGGCCCGAUGCCAAUUUGGCCCGACCCGAGCACGUCAAACAGACGCCGAACGGACAGAGUUUCCCCUAUCCGCCCAAGGCUCAUCACAUGUACAUUUUCAACAAUAGAGAAAAGCACUAGCGGAAACAUACACAAACGGCUUACACGAGGGUAAGCAAUAGCCAUUAGUGAAAGAAAAAGGAAACUAAACAUUCACAAGUAAUAUGAUUCAUUUUAGAUCAUAUACAUUGCAUCCAUCUCUUACAUUUAGGAUUCUUUGCAUUUCAUUACAUAAUUCCAUCAUUUCUUUCUUACAUCACAUUUUCCUCAAAAUAAGCUUUACAUUCUUUUCUUUACAUUACUAAUCAUUAAGUACAAAAGAUGAACAUGGGGUAGCUACUAACAAAAUGUAACCCAACCUUGGUGGCCUCUGACUAAGGCGCGAUACCUUUAUCUCGGUCGCUCGCCGGCUCGCUCGGUCCCGGCUCUGUGGAAAUAGUGGGGUGAGAACUACAACAAAGUUCCCAGUGGGUUCGGCCUCAACAUCACCGACUUUCCCACUAGGACUAACUCAGGCAUAAUAGAAAGGAUAAGCUGAAAUAUGGUAACCAAUCUACAACAUGAUGCUAAUAUGCCUGAACAAAAGCAAGGAAUAUGCUCAACAUUAAUAUAUGCAGAUUAUGCAAGUUCUUUCGUUCUUUAUCUUUACACUUUGUUCUUUGUUCUUUGCUCUUUGUUCUUUAUUCUUUAUUCUUUAAUCUCAAGGCUAACCCGGGGGUUUCGCCACAUUAACUUGCUUCACAUUAAGUCCAUCAUCGCAGGAACUCACCCGCUAGGACCGUCCUUCGGGUUUACUCCAACCCGUGAUGCAUAACUCCGGAGCGCAUCGCCCGAGGGGGAGCGACCGCCCUCGAGCACGGAACUCAUAGCAAGCAUGAUCGAUAUCCUUAACUCAAAGGAUUGUAUGUUCAAUCUCGACUUUACACUAACUCUAGUGUUCAUUACGUCACUUUAUGUUGCCACUCUAGCAAUCAUGGAUCUUUGCAUUUCUUUUACUUUUGCUAACUCUAGCAAUCACUCUCUUUACUUUUCUUUUACCAUCUUUAGCGUUCCUGUUCUUUACAUUUCUCGUUCUUAUUGCCCCUCUUUACUUUAACUUUACACAUUGUCAUUUUCAUCAUUCUUUACAUUACUUUGGUUCUUUGGCUCACACUAACUCUAGUGUCACUUUACUUUACGUUUUCAAAUGCCACUCGAUCUAUGUCAUUGUGCCACUCUGUUCUUUUGCUCACUUUGGGUGCUCACAUUUUCUCUCAUGCAUACAUUUAGGGUUUUGACAUUAUUAGGUUCUCAACCAUCUCAUUAUGCAAGUUGUGCUCACAAUCAUGCAAUCAUCACAUUUCAUCAUUUCUUUACCCUAAAAUGCAUGCAACAAUAUAUAGAACAUAUGCUCAAAGAAUGACACAUUAGGCAUAGAGAGAAUUUCAAUGAGUUUGGAAAGCACCACCCACCUAUAGGUCCUUAGUGGCUUCCGACGAUUUUCUCGAGAUUUUUAGAUCCUUCGUUCUUUACCUGCGAAACGAAGCCAACAUUAGGCCAUUUUUGCCCAUAACUUUUCAUCGGCUUUUCGUAACGUUAAUCCGAGCGCGGCACCAACGCGUCGAAAACCCCAAUUAGGUUUUUAGAGGUCAAUUGCACUUAGAAACCUCAUGAGCAAAAGCCCCAAUUUGGGUGCCCUAGCUCCAAUGUAUAUCAAAACCUAGGGUUUGAUCUCUUGGGAAGUAAAAUAGCUCACAUACUCUAAAUAGUCCAACUAGAACCAUUCUUAGCCUUCCAGAAACCCUAUUUGAUUUCACCAUGAGAGGUUCCAAGCUCUCCUCUAAACCAAACCAAGGUUUUGAUCUCUAAAGAAGCAAAGAGAAAGCUUCAAAAACUCUAAACAAUCCAUUAAAACCAUUUCUAGUUCAUUCAAACUCAUUUCUAAGGUUUUACUAUAUUGAGGUUCAAGCUUACCUUGUAAGCUUCCUUUUCUCGCACUACGAGAGGAAGAAGAUAAGCUCCUUUGCUCCUUGAUCUUCUCUCACCUUCUUCCUUCUUCUCCUUCUUCUUCUUCCUUUCUUCUUCUUCUCUUUUGUCUUCAGAAAAGAGAGAGAUGAGAGAAAAAGUGUUUUGAGGGAGAGAAUAGAAAAAGGCUCUCUCAACCCUCUACAUAACCCAUGGGUUGCCAAAAAUGCAAAUAAACCCCUCAACUUUUAUCUCUGUGCACUGCCUGGACUGGCAGUUUCGCAGCAGAGACGUUCGCCCGAGCAGGGACCGGUUCCCGAGGUCCACCUGCGCGGGCCAGAGCUGCCGCGGCGAAUGCCCGUCCCUCCUGUGGACCGGUCUCCGGGACCGGUCUCAUCGACAGAGACGGUUCCCGAGAGCUAACUCCUCAGGACUUAGCCGAUUUUUCGGCUGUCCACCCUUCAUACGCGUUCGGGACCGGUCUCUCCCACCAGGGCCGGUCCCCGAGAGCUUAAAAUCUGCAGUUUGGCAGAAUUUGAUUCUUUAGCUCUCGAAAACCUUCACAACUCACUUUAAUGCAUUUUAACACUUCGACUGUUCCGAAGUUUCCAUCCUUCGGCACUUGUCAAUUGACUAAGUUCGAUAUGUAUUUUCCGAAUUUUCGGUAUAUUACAGCGACUUUGUCAAUUUGUCCCCAAUCGGCACGCAAACAGCCCGAACGACAUGAGUCUCCUUGCCCGCCUAAGGCUCCACAUAUCAUACAUGAGUUUUUGCUAGGAAAAAUAUUAAUUACAUAUUGCGUGAAGGAGCAAUAAAUAAAGCAAAGAGAAGAUUAGCUAACUAUUAAAUAUCAUUUGAACUCACUGUACAAAUUUCACAUAAGUACACAUUCUGCAUUCAUAUAUAUACAUGGUUCAUUUCUACUCUACAAGUUUAUCCGCAAAUAUAAAAUAUCUCUCUCCAGCAUAUACAUAAUAUUACAAUAUAUAUAUAUGUAUAUAAUAGCAUAUAAUAAUAUAUAUAUAUACACUAUAUAUAUAUAUAUAUACAUAUAUAUAUAUACAUAUAUACAUAUAUAUAUACAUACAUACACUAUUAUAUACAUAAUACAUAUAUAUACAUAUAUAUACAUACAUAAUAUACAUACAUAAUAAUAUAUACAUAUAUACAUACAUAUACAUACUAUACAUAUAUAUAUUACAUAUAUACAUACAAUACAUAAUAUAUACAUAACAUAUAUAUAUACAUACAUAUAUAUCAUACAUACUAUAAUAUAUAAUACAUAAUAUUACAUACUUAAUAACUAUAUAUACAUAAUAUAUAUGUAUAUAUCUAUUACAUUAACAUACUAUAACCUUAACAUAUAAUAUUAUAUAUACAUAUACAUAUACAAUAUAUAUAAUAUGUAUUAUAUGCAUAUAUACAUAUUACAUAUACAUAUAUAUAUAUAUAUAUAUAUUAUAUGUAGUAUUAGUAUAACAUAUAACAUCAUACAUAUAUAUAUAAUGUAUAUUAUAUUAUAUAUGUAUUAAUGUAUAUACUAUAUACAUAACAUAUAUAACAUACUACAAUAACAUAUAUGUAUAUGUAUACUAAUGUACUAUACAUAAUCCUAUAAUAUACAUCAUAGUUAUAAAUGUAUUAUGUAUAGUUAUACAAUACAUAUACACUAUACAUAAUAUAGUUAGUAUAUUAUAUGUAUAUAUAAUAUAUAUAUUAUAUUAUAUAUAUAUAUAUAUAUAUAUAUAUAUAUAUAUAUAUACAUAUAUAUAUAUAUAUACAUAUUGUUGGUAGCCGAAAUUUUCUGAUCCUUCACCCGGUCAAAGAUCCUCCUCGGGGAGCGCGUCGGUGUGAAAAACAGCUGCGAAUAGUGACCCUCGAAGUUUGCACCCUUUGAUCGAUCAAGCGAUUCGGCUAAUGAGGGAUCGGAUCAGCCGGGUUUGAAAACUCUAUAGUAAAUUCGGUUCGGCUAGAUGAGCCGAAUGUACAGAUCAAGCAAGAGCAAAGUCGGCUGAAUAGCCGAAUAGGUAGACAACACAGGAAUUGGUCGCCUGAAUGAGCCGAAUGCUUUUAUGUAUAUUAAUAAAACAGAGGUGCCCAAGGGGCAUAUAGACUCUGAAAAUCUAGUUUACAACAGAGUGUUCCCGUGGGGGCAUAGAGACUCUAGAGAUCUAACUUAAAAACUACUCCUAGAAAAGCAGUAAAUGCGGGUAAAAAAGAUUACAUAUAGACUACUCCUAUAAAAGCGAUAAAAUUGCAGAGAAAAUAAAGGUGGUCUUCUCGUUCAGGGGGGAGAAAGACCCUAUUGCAUGCUUCGAAACUACUAUUUAUAGUAAUAUCAACCACAUUAUUGGUUGGUUGAAAGUAGUGGGGGGAGUGGUUGUAACCAUAAUCUUGGAAGUUACGCCCACUCCUCAUGGAAGUUACGCCCCAUUGUGAAAGUUACGUCCACUUCUCAUGGAAGUUACGCCCUACUUCUCAACCGUUCUCGCCUAAAACUUUCAGGCGCCUUAUUGCCGACUCUUGGUGUACCACGUGUCUUUAUUGGCUCAUACGUGAGUUACGUCGGCAUGUUAAUUUCAAUUUUGGCAUCAACAAUGCCCCCCCAAUAGUCUUUCGAAUGAACAUUUGGAUGACUAUUGGUGCCAAAUCGACUGCUCAAAUAACACAGCCGAUGUCACGCCCCGGGACCCGGCAAAGGCCCUGCCCGGUGCGUGCCCAGACCCGCCAUAUGCCUGCACAUAUAAGGCGUCUACAACAAAGUGAUAUGAAAGAUAAAAUAAACAAUAACUAACGAUAUCAGAGCAAGCAUGCAGCUAAGUUCUAUCAACAAGCGGAAAUAGAAAGGAAAGAGAAAGAGACUAAACCACUAGAACAUAAAGAAACUAAUACAUCAUAAGUCUCCAGAUACAAAAGUAGGGUGGUCUCUAUAACAAGGUACAAAACUCUCACAACCUCUCCAACGCAAAACAAAAGAGAGGUAGACCACCUAACGCCAAAUCCCUCGGUAGCUAGCUCGAGGCGAAACCUUUCCCGCGAUCCCGAGCCCCUCCCGAAGUGGAAGGCUCUGAAAGAAAACAUAAAACAGGGGGCAUGAGAACUAUAAUUUAUAGUUCCCAGUGGGCAAUUACUGACCUGCACCAACUGCACCACUAGGCCCAAAAGAGAGCAGAUAAAGUUAAUAGAAUUUAACUGCGGUAAAUGAAGCAUAAUAAUAAGAUGCUACUCUACUAUGCCAUAAGUAUGUAGAAUGUCAACAUGAAGUACAUCUACUCUACAUGAACCAGUAUGCCAGUACUUAAACAAAUAUGCUAUGAUGCAACGUGUAAUACUAUGAAGUAUGAUAUAUGUCUCAAAGCCAACUACAUAUCUAGUAUGUACUAUCCUGGCAACCAAGUACACUACGAUGCCAUCAGCGAUACCGUCAAGUAUCCUAUGAAUCUCAAUGUCCGACCCUAUGCCGUAGCAUGUUAAGGAAUCCAACUACUAUGACCUGUCUAGUAGUGAUUAUCAACUUGUUGUUUAAUAUUUUGGUUCAAUCUCAUUCAGGAUCUACACGGGUGUAGUCCGGCUUGUGCCGCCUAAGUGCCUGUGGUAGCCCAACAUUCCUGCCCUUGGAAUGUGUCUGUCCCACUCGACCCCGUAGGCUUCUCAGUACCGCACGAGCGAGCAUAUGUCGCGUAGGCUAACUCCGGAGUGCCGGCUUGUAGGGAGCGACCCGUACAAGCAUGUGCGAAUGAGCACAAAUGGCAAGCAAGCAUGGUCAAAACCUCAAGUACCCAAUCAUCAUGUCUCUAACAUGGUAACAGUCACUAGCAACCCAAAGGUCUAGUACUAUGUCUCAAUGUGAAGGUUAAACCGUUCAAUAAUUUCGAUGUCAAUGACCUUAGCUUUACUAAGUCCAAAUCUCAAGGUGAAGUUCCCACAUUCACUAUGUUUAGUGCCUCUUUAUGACAUUUAAACAUUGCUAUAAUCUAAGCACAUUUCACCUUCUAAGUCUCUUUAUGACGUUAACUUGUUCUAUCAAUAAUAGAUUAAUACACAUGCUCUCUAGCGUGUUCUCAUAUUGCCACAUGUAUGUUCUUUCCAAUGCAACUAUCCACUUGGCAUAAUUUCUCAUAAUAAUAACAUGCAAAUGCAAUUUACAUAUCCAUCAAGUCUAAUGCCGCUUUAUGACAUUAGCUUGCUAAGUCCAUCUCUAGUCCAAGCCUAAUGCCGCUUUAUGACAUUAGCUUACCAUUUGUAUACACUCUAACCUAUGUCACUUAAGGUCGAUAUGACCAACCAUGUCAAGUAUGCGUUCUAAGCCCAAGAGUGUAAUCUAUGUGCCAUAAGCACCAUAUGCAACAUGAUCUUAAUCAAAUGUAAGAAUGCUAACCAUAGGCCCCUAGCCCAACAUGAAAACUCUCUACCAUAUAGAGGUCAAAUAUGCAUUGUAUAUAACAUGUGCAUUUUAAGCAUUCUAAAAUUCACAAAUAAUGCAUCGAACAUGAAUAUGCAUGCUUUUUCAUUUUACAAUACUUAAAUCAUCAACAAUGAGAUUUUCUCAUUAUGUGGCUAGGUCAAACCCACCGACGACAACGGAACCCUUCGAUUGUUCCGAUGAGGGUGUCCACCACUCUCCUAGUACCCUAAAGGUAAGGAAACAAGUGUCACAAGAACCCUACAAACAACACAUAGCUCAAACAUUAAGCUUUUCAAGCUAAGGUGGGAAAAACUCACCGAAAAUGGUGAAUAUCUCUCUUGAUCUCCAAAAGGAGGCAAGAAUCCUUCAAAACCAACCUAAAAGAUGGUUCAAAUAAGAUCAAUCAAGAUCAAAAAGCCUCAACUCGAAAAUCCCCAUUUCUAACCCUAAAAUUCAAAAUCUAGGGUUUCCUCUAACCAAAAUCAACAAAACAUGUAUCAAAUGAAAAAUACAUGUUACUAACCUCUUAAAUAGCCUCAAACCAAGUCCAAAAUCAGCUAGGGUUGGAGGUCUCCUCACAAACAAGCUCCUCUCAAAGCUCCAAGUCUUCAAUCAUGGAGAAAACCCAAUAAAAGCAAAGAAGAGGAGAAGGGAGAGAUCAAAACACCAUAAAAUCCACCAAAAAUGGGGAUCAAACAAGGGAAGGGGAGACUCACCUUGAUCUCCACUGGUUAGGGCUCAAAGAGAGCAGCUAAGGGGGCUGGGGUCACCUAUAUAGGUGUUGUAACAAUUGCAAAUACACCCCUCCCCGAAACAGCCCGAACUGCACUGCGUACCGGUACACGGGUUUGUGUACCGGUACACAUCCCACGAACCAGCCCAACCCGAGCCUCGGGUUGGCGCUCUGGCUGCCAGGGUCGAUGGCUGUACCGGUACAGCCAUCACCGCGUACCGGUACGCCACCCCGAAAUUUGCAAACCGAGAGCAGCCUAAGUCCUCCACUUUGGCGACCUUAGUGCUACUUGAAAUACCACAAUUCUCGGGAUACGAGCCAUAGGUCUGAACACUGUCUACGACCCACCAGAAAAUCUGGAAAAACUCAUAACACCAGCCAUACACUCGAACCUCGCAGUUUGCAAAGGUCCAGUGCGUUACAGCCGAGACCCAAGCUUUAGUUUCGCUGGUCUUGGUCGGCUUAAAGAAAACGACUCUUUAUCGUCCCAGCUGUAUAUACCUCGGCUUCAUCAGCCGAUUCUUUACUUUUAUUUGAUUGGUUCGGGCUCUUCUUGAACCGAAUGUUCUUCUAUCAAGGAUUUUUCCUUGAAGAAAGUGGCUCUCUACCAGCCACAUAUACCUUGGCUUCAUCAGCCGAUUCUUCACUUUCACUUGAUUGGCUUGGCUCUUUUUGAACCAACUAUUCUUCUAUCAAAGAUUUCUCCUUGCCUUUGCUUUGAUUGUUAUAUCGGCUCGAUUGCAACCGAUCGUCCUCUCUUUUCUUCCGAAAUUGCUCAUAUUGGGCAACUCGAACACCUAGAUCAAAUAGGUUAGAAAAAUACUUAUCUUUAAAAUGAUCUUUUAUCUUAAAAUGUAGACUAUUUAACGCCAUUUUGGCGAACUCUGAUUCCGGCAUCUUCAUAAAACACCGAAUUAUGGCUAUUUUGAAACGGUUUAAAUACUCUUCGACCGUUUCACCUGACUUUUGUCGGUACAAAGCCAAGUCGGCGACCGAUAAUUGUGGCUCCGACCUAUAGAAUUGCUCAUGAAAUUUUCUUUCCAAUUCAUCCCAAUCUCGAACAGAAUUGGCUGAUAAACUUAUAUACCAAGUAAACGCCGUUUUAGUUAACGACGUGUUAAAUAAUCGAAGUUUCAAAAAUAAGUCAGUGGCCGCUUCUCUACAUUGGGCCGUGAACCGGGCUAUAUACUCGACCGUAUUCUUGGUCUUAUCGCCUGAGAACUUGUCGAACUUCGGCAUUUUCCAGUUUGCCGGAUAUGGAUGAUCUGCGUCUACAGGCCGCAUUGCCGGCCUGGCCCCUACUCCGAAGGUAUUCUGAACGGCUUCCUCGAUUUGAGCAUAUAGCUCAUUAUUGUUCCCUAUUACGGGAACCGGUGCCUGCGCUUGAGUCGAAUUCGGCUCUGUAGGAAGUCCAUAAUUCUGUGUUGUGGGAUUUGCUCCUUGCAUAACAUUAGGGGCCUGCUUCCCAGCUCUAAUCCCCGUAUUUUGGGGCUGAUAAGCUGGUAAAUUAGGUAAACCCGAUGCAAUCUCCGACUGCGGGCCGGCGUUUAUAUUCGUCGGUCUAUAAGCAGUCUGGAAAGGUGCCAUUUGCGGUUGCGCCUAUGAUGUCACGCCCCGGGACCGAUACUAAUUUGGACCGACCCGAGCACGUCAAACAGACGCUGAACGGACAGAGUUUUCCCUGUCUGCCCAAGGCUCAUCACAUGUACAUUUCGAGUAUAAGGAAAGCACAAGCGGAGACAUACAAAAACGGCUUACACGAGGGUAAGCAAUAGCCACGAGUGAAAGAUAGGAAACUAUGCAUUCAACUAGUACUAUAAUUCAUUUUGAUCACAAACAUGUAUCCAUUUACAUUCAUAAUUCUUUACAUAGUCUUUUCAUCAUUUCUUUUUACAUCACACUUGCUCAAAAUAAACAUAACAUUCUUUCUAUUUCCGUUCUAUACAUUAGCAUCAUAAAUCAUCAAAUAUAUAGAUGAUAAAAGGGAAGCUCCUAACAAAAUGUAACCCAACUCUGGUGGCCUCUGACUAUGGUGCGAUACCUUUACCGCGGUCGCUCGCCGGCUCGCUCGGUCCCGGCUCUAUGGAAUAGUGGGGUGAGAAUUACAAUAAAGUUUCCAGUGGGUUCGGCCCCAACAUCACCCACUUUCCCACUAGGACUAACUCAGGCAUAAUAGAAGAAUAAGCUGCAUAUAGUAACCAAUCUAUACAUGAUGCUAAUAUGCCUGAACAAUAAAGCAAGGAGUAUGCUCAACAUUAAACAUAUGCAGAUUAUGCAAGUUCUUUCAUUCUUUGUCUUUACUCUUUAUUCUUUGUUCUUUGUUCUUUGUUCUUUGCUCUUUGUUCUUUAAUCUCAAGGGUAACCCGGGGGUUUCGCCACAUUAGCUUGCUUCACAUUAAGUCCAUCAUCACAGGAACUCACCCGCUAGAACCGUUCUUCGGGUUUACUCCAACCCGCGAUGCAUAACUCCGGAGCACAUCACCAGAGGGGGAGCGACCGCCCUCGAGCACGGAACUCAUAGCAAGUAUGAUCGAAUCCUUAACUCUAAGGAUUUUAAGUUCAAUCUUGACUUUGCACUAACUCUAGUGUUCAUUACAUCGCUUUAUGUUGCUAACUCUAGCAAUCAAGUUCUUUACAUUCCUUUACUUUAGGCUAUCUUUAGCUUUCUCAUUC
RNAcentral lists this long non-coding RNA (86931 nucleotides) under Ananas comosus (pineapple). Its description in RNAcentral is "long non-coding RNA (ACOM_LNC013509)". Lineage: Eukaryota; Viridiplantae; Streptophyta; Magnoliopsida; Poales; Bromeliaceae. The record is from RNAcentral.